Molecule: long non-coding RNA, 67292 nt
Filed under: Lactuca sativa (garden lettuce)
Lineage: Eukaryota; Viridiplantae; Streptophyta; Magnoliopsida; Asterales; Asteraceae
Description: long non-coding RNA (LSAT_LNC004958)
Source: RNAcentral
GUAAUACUUCAGGAACCGGUCGGCAAUCGUAGCUCUUUCAAGGUUUCUCGGAACUGAGAAAAUAUUGAUACGCCAUUUAAGAUAAGUGAUCACAUAAUCCUCUGUUCUAGAUAUCAGGCGGACAAAUACAUGGAACAAUGUCUUACUUAUUAUCCAGCAGUUUGUUUCCCGAUUUUUGAUUUGUUUGAUAAAGAACUUAAUUGAACACAUCAAUUUAGUUCUGACCGGGCCCGGUACAUAGGUCAAAACAAAAUCAUCGUGGGUCCCAGAUAUCAGCUUCUAAUCCAAGAAGGAACAGAUAAAGUUCGACUCAUAUGUUUGUUCUACUACUCAUUGAAUUAUACACAAAAGCACGUUUUAUAACAUCGAGUUACCAAUGCGUUUACGUACAAUCAAGGCAUAACCAACUCAUAAGUAACAAAUUAUAUCUCUAGGUUUGAAAAAUUAUGUGAUAUUACCGUCUCACGAUCACUCGAGAUAAAUUCCAUGAAGUGAUACCAGUGAGCGUGGGGUGAUUCCAAUACUCAGAACUUAUGAGCNUACUCAUGAAGUUUUGUCCUUAACCUUGACACCUACAACCAACUUCAUGACAGUCUUAAUUUAUAUCUACUUCCAACAUAUGACUGACUGUGGAGAUUUGAAUAAUAUGUAGAAACACAACAUAAUAUUCUGGAAGUCAAAACAUGCAAAAGAAAUUAUAGUAAAUGAUUGACAAAAGAUAGUAACACUUUACUCAUAAAUAAACAACAAACUAUUAUUUAUCAUCAAAUGUCAAUUACACUUUACAAAUUUCAUAAUUUAUCUAACUACUAAAACUUAUAUCAUCCUUUAGCCCUAUGCUCCGAGCAUGCUGAAGAUGUUUAGCCCUACUCAGUCCCUUCGUGACAGGAUCUACUAGGUUCUCAUCUGAUGAUACCCUCUUUGCAACGAGGAUUCUUUCUUCUAUGAGAUGUCUGAUAAAAUGAUAUUUUCUGUCGAUGUGUCUGGAUCUCCCAUGAUCCCUUGGUUCCUUAGCUAAGGCAACAACACUUUCACUAUCACAGAAAAUUUCCAUAGGUUCCUUUAUAGCUGGUACAACUCCAAGGUCUCCAAUGAAGUUCUUCAGCCAUAUUGCCUCCUUUGCUGCUUCGCUCGUUGCUAUAUAGUCUGAUUCACAAGUGGAAUCAGCCACUAUCUCCUGCUUGGAACUCUUCCAAGUGAUUUCUCCUCCGUUUAGGGUAAAGACCCAGCCCGACUGAGAGCGGAAAUUAUCCCUAUCAGUCUGGAAGCCAGCAUCACUAUACCCUACAACUCUCAUGUCAUCACUCCCGCCGUGGGUAAGGACCCAUUCCGUAGUCCUCCGUAGGUACUUAAGGAUAUUCUUUACUGCAGUCCAGUGUGCCAUGCCAGGGUUCCCCUGAUACCUGCUAACCAUGCUCAAGGAAAAGGCUACAUCAGGUCGAGUACACGUCAUAGCAUACAUGAUCGAUCCUACAGCCGAAGCAUAAGGUACUUGACUCAUUUCUACUAUCUCAGCCUCAGUACUUAAGCUCUGAGCUUUACUCAAUCUGGCAUUACUCUGGAUAGGUAACUCUCCUUUGUUGGAGUUUUGUGUGCUGAGUCUCUUAAGCACCUUGUCCAAGUAGGUACUUUGAUUAAGUCCAAUUAGUUUUUUACUCCGGUUAAAAAUCCUUAUCCCUAGAAUAUAGGCAGCUUCUCCUAGGUCCUUCAUAGAGAAACACUUCCCAAGCCAGGACUUGACUUCCUGCAGAGUUGGGAUGUCAUUUCCUAUGAGUAGUAUGUCAUCCACAUACAAUACCAAAAAGCUAACUAUACUCCCACUAGCCUUGACAUACACACAAGAUUCAUCUUCACUCCUAGAAAAACCAAAUUUCUUGACUUUCUCAUCAAAGCAAAGAUUUCAUAUGCGAGGUGCUUGCUUUAAUCCAUAAAUGGAUUUCUCAAGCUUACACACUCUAUUAGGGUACUCGUUGCUGACAAAACCUUCUGGCUGACUCAUGUAAACAUCUUCCGUCAACUUUCCAUUAAAGAAAGCAGUUUUGACAUCCAUUUGCCAUAUUUCAUAGUCAUGAAAUGCAACUAUGGAUAACAUAACCCUAAUAGACUUAAUCUUGGCUACUGGAGAAAAGGUCUCAUCAUAAUCCAAUCCUGGAGUUUGAGAGAAUCCCUUUGCAACCAGUCGUGCCUUAUAAGUGUGUACAUUACCAUCCAUGUCGGUCUUCUUCUUGAAGAUCCAUUUGCACCCUACAAUCUUACGACCUGGUACAUUCUCAACCAAGUUCCAAACUUGAUUGUCAUACAUGGAUUGUAUCUCGUUGUCUAUUUCCUCUUUCCAUUUAGCAGACUCGGGGCCUUCCAUGGCUUCCACGUAACUGUUGGGUUCAUCCAUACCUACUAGUGUCUUAUCACUAAUAAGUGUAUCACCUUCCGCAGUAAUAUGGAACCUAUAGUAAUGCUCAGGUGCAUUCCUAACUCUCGUGGAUCGCCUCAGAGGUAAAGACUCGUCAAUUGGUUCAACAGGAGUUUCCUCCUCAAGUUAAGGGCUAGGGUUUGAAGUUCCUUCACCACUUGACUCUUGAAGUUCUUCAAGGUCAAUUUGCCUCCCACUGUCUCCUUGGCUUAUAAAUUCUCUCUCACGAAAGACUCUUCUUCUUGCUACAAAGACCACAUUAUCACUGGGUCUGUAGAAAAGGUAACGAAAGGAUUUAUGUGGGUAGCCGAAGAAAAUACACCUCUCGCUUCGGGGUUCAAGCUUAUCAUGAGCCUCACGUCUCACGAAAGCCUCACAACCCCAAAUCUUGAUGUGGUCUAGUUUGGGUACUUUACCAGUCCACAUCUCAUGAGGAGUUUUGGCAACUUUCUUUGUAGGGACUAGAUUAAGGAUAUGGGCGACAGUCUCUAAGGCAUACCCCCAGAAUGAGAUUGGUAGCGAAGCUCGACUCAUCAUGGAACGAACCAUAUCCAACAAGGUUCGAUUACACCUCUCAGCCACACCAUUCAAAUGUGGUGUUCUGGGAGGUGUCAAUUGUGAGAGAAUCCCACAUUCCCUAAGAUAGUUGAGGAACUCUGAACUAAGAUACUCACCACCUCGAUCGGAUCGAAGCAUCUUAAUGUUUCUGCCCAAUUUAUUCUCGACUUCAUAUUUAAAUUCUUUAAACCUUUCGAAAGUCUCUGACUUAUGCUUGAUUAAGUAGAAAUAUCCAUAUCUACUGUAAUCAUCAGUAAAAGUCAAAUAAUAACGAUUAGCAUCCCUUGUGGCAUGUUUGAAGGGUCCACACACAUCCGUGUGUACAAGAUCCAGAAAACCUUCAUCCCUCUCACAGGAACCUGUGAAGGGUGACUUUGUCAUUUUUCCAAGUAAGCAUGAAUCGCAACUGUCAUUUGACUUUAGGUCAAAUGACUCCAAGACUCCAUCCUUUUGGAGUUGGCCUAUGGAUUUCUUGCUUAUAUGUCCAAGAUGACAAUACCAUAAUGAUGCUUUAUCCAAGUUAUUAUUAUUAACAGAAUCAAUACACAAUACAUUAUUUCCUAAGUUAUCAACCACAGAUACAGUUUCAUACACGCCAUCACAAGGUACUGCUUCAAAAUAAAGAACAUUAUUAAAGAAAGCAUUAAUCGAACCAACUUCAUUAUCAAAUGAAAAGGUGAAACCUUGUUUAUACAAUGCAUGAAAGGAAAUCAUGUUUCUUGCCAUUUAUGGAGAAUAACAACAUUUAUUCAAAUAUAAACUAAACCCACUACUUAGCGAUAAAGUAUAAACUCCAAUCUUGGUGACAGGUGAAGCUUUCCUGUUUCCCAUGAUCAAGUUUAUUCUUCCUUGCUCCACAUUCUCACUUCUUCUUAGUCCCUAAAAAUCAGAACAGAUAUGAAUACCAUAACCGGUAUCAAGGAUCCAUGAGUUAGAAUGGGGUGAGUUAUUAGAUAAGACAGUGUAAAUACCUGCAUGGUUGGGUUUAACUUUCCCAUCCUUCACAUCUUGUUGGUACUUUGGGCAGUUCCGCUUCCAAUGUGCCUUUUCAUGGCAAUAGAAGCAUCCAUCCUCUUUUGGUUUAGAAGAAGGAGUGACGAAACCUUUCUUGGUUCCACUUGAAGAAGAGCCAUCAAGGGUCCUAGCCUUGGUACCCUUCGAAGAACUCUUUCUCUUAUUCCCUCGUCCUUUCCCGAUUGCCAAGACAGGGGCGGAGUUGGAAGGAGUAGGAGUAGUAACAACCGCCUUACCCUUAAGACCACUUUCCGCGGUCUUUAAGAGUCCUUGAAGUUUGUUGAGAAUGACCUCUUCCUUGUUCAUGUGAUAUGUCAUGCGGAAUUGAUCAUAGCAAGAUGGUAGGGAGUGCAAAAUGAUAUAUAUUGCAAGCUCCUCGGGGAAGUUCACACUGAGCUUCAGCAAUCGGUCCAUAAAUCUUUGCAUUUUCUGCAUGUGGCCCUUGAUGGGUUCACCAUCCUUCAUUUGGGUUGUUAUCAUGGAGGAGCUGAUUUCAUACCUCUCUUGUCUUACACUUUGAUGGUAUCUUUCCAUCAAAUCUUGGUGCAUUUCAAAAGGGUAGAAGUCCUCGUAGGACUUUUGGAGAUCGGCUGUCAUAGUAUCCAUCAUGAUGCAUGCCACCUUGGUGGCAUCCCUUUCAUGUGCCCUAAAGUCAGCGAUCUGUUGAGGAGUAGCAAUUGUCUCAUCAAUCUCCUUAAGCUCCUUAUCGAGAACAUAUUCUUUAUCCUCGUAGCGGGUAAUCAUUCGGAUGUUUAUGAUCCAUUCAUUAAAGUUGGACCCAUCAAAAGUGACUUUCCCACACAAGUUCAUUAGAGAAAAGGAGCCAUUAGGAUUAGAGCCAGAAGCAGUAGUGUUUGCAGACAUCUGAAAAGAAGAAAAGUUUAGUUUAGAUAUUGAGAUAAUCCUAAAUAAAACACCCAAAUGUAAUAUUAAGGCUAGGACCCAGUCACAAUAUAUUAUACUUAGAAGAGGUAUGCUGUAAUCUAAGUAAUAACAUAUUUGAAAGGUAGGUGAAUGACGAUUCACCAAUUUCCACCAUGAAAAAUGAAAUAUUGAUAUUAGGUUUUUAAUUGGUUCUUAGAAAUUCCUAGAUUCUUUGAGAUUCAUUGAUCUUUUCAAUGGCAUGUUUCAAUCUAGAGUGUGCCCUCCAAGUUUUGUGACUGGGAUGCCGAGAAUCACAAAACGAGGUGUGAAGUAACCAUGCAAAUUACUUGGUACCCUUAAAGUAUGACCCCUCAAUCGAUGUGUCGGUUAACCACACACGCUCCAUCGAUACUAUGAUAAACAUUAAGUCACUCUUUACCUACCUUGUUAAGUUCAAGUUACUGUGCCGGUUAACCACACACGCUCCACUAACGACUUAAAAAAAGUGUAAAGUGUAAUUUCAUGGAUUAGUACCUUAUUCACAUUUUUCCUAAAGUAACUAAUAUUGGGAAUUUAAUAAACGCAUUUGGUUACUUUAAUAUAUUCAUCAUACUUUUAAUGAGAAUUUAUAAGUCCUUGUCUACCCAUUUGGUUAACGACCCUCCACCGAUCAAGGAAGCGGUGGGUGAGAUUGGACACCCAUUAAGUUGCCAUUUUAUAGGCAACAACCUUAUACCCUCCUUAUAGACCGGCUUCGUGAAUGAGGCGUACUAGCGGUUAGACUGACUUUACUCUUAUACAUAUAUAUAUUAUUAACUUAUAAUAUUAUAAAGUAUAAGGGUUGAAUUUUAACUUUUAAAAUUCUAAGGGCUAACUUGGAAUUAAAGUAUUCAUAANUUUUGUAAACUUUCAAAACUUUUCAUUUCUUGUAACUUAUGAGUUAAUAGAGUAUUAAAAAAUGAAGACUCUUCAUUUUUUAUAACUCAAGUGUUCUUUUAAUGGCUUUUAACAAAGUGACUUUUGGUUUUCCAUAACUUGAGGACAAGUUAUGGACUCCAUUAAAACACAUAAUGAUCAUGAAACAAUCUACCACAUAGGUUACAAACAAUUACUAUGAUCAUCUAAACAACAUAAGAACAAGAACAUGAAUAUGAACACUUUCAAGAAUCAAAAAUUAUACUUAAAAUCUUGUAAUUUUGAUAAUUGUCGUUGUAAAUGGAUUAGCAUAAACAUUACAACAUCUAAAACAUGUUUUCUAGUACCAAAACAAUUUAGGGUAAUGUUUCUAGUCCAUUUCCAGCAACACAAGUCGAAAUUUUGAAAACUGUAACCUCUACUCGUCGAGUGCAAGAAAAAAUCGACGAGUAGCUUGCAUUUGGUCAUGGACUCGUCGAGUCCCCCCAUGGACUCGGCGAGUUCAUACGAGCAGAAAGCAGAAAAUUGAAUUUUUAAGCAGUUUGCACAAAUAAUCAACAAACAAGCCUAGGCUCUGAUACUACUGAUGGGUUUUGAGCAUUCUAACACUUACUAAGUGUACAUGCAACCCUAAUAACCUUGGAUCUAUGUUUGUCUAAUUAUAAUGCAAAGUUGAUUUCCAAGGUUAUGUUCCUAUCUAGCAUACAUGGGGAACAAUUUUUCUUUAAAUGAAAGAUAGAACUACAUACCUUGUUGUUGAAAGUGUUACUUAAAACCUUGUGAGCCUAGCACCUCAAGUGUGAUACCUUAAAUGCUUCACACAACACCAAAUGCAAUGAACAAACUUGAGAGAACACUCUAACACUUUCAAAAUCGGCUACGCCCUCUUCUUCUAGUUAGUGUAGCCGAUUUUGGGGAGAAACACAUUGCUUAUAUAGUGUGUUGCAUUAGAUAAACCCUAAUGUAACAUGACUCUUCAUUUCUUGAUCCAUGGGUUGAAUCCAUGGACCAUCCUAUGGGUGGAACCCAGCUUGACAAUCCAUGGAGCCUCUUAGCCCACUAUAUAAGAUAUGGAAGAUUUACAUAAUCUACCCAUAUAUCUAAUUAGUUAUCUUUUGAUCACUUAAUUAAUUCUAAAUUAAUUCUUGAUCAAAACUAAUUAAAUAAUAUUAUUAAUAUACUAGAACUUAUAAUAUAUUAAUAAACCAUAAGUGUUAUUUCUCUCAUUUAGUUUAUUCAAUUGCAUGAUGCCAUGAAACCCAAAUGGACCAUGCCGGGUCGGGUCAAGUACAUACCAGAAAUAGUUAUGGACUUAGACACCUUAUCCAACAAGUUACACCGAGCGUCUUAUAUAAUAUUCCAUAUCAUUUGGCUAAUUAUUUGGGAAGUAAGGCUGCUAUUUCUAGAUCUGGGAGUCCCAUCAAUGGGGCACUUUUUUUACCCGCCUUGUAAGGUCCUAUGGUCUACUUGUCCGACGUUUGACUAGGACUCCGACACUAAAACCCGAUGAUGAUUUCACUAUGGGAUAUUUAGAGUCCAUACGGGUGGUCCACAAAGAUCAACCGGCGCCCCAACCAAUUACAAGAGGGGGGAGGAAUGUGCGAGGACGAGGAGAAAGAGGACAGCCAGUGCAUCAACCCACACCAAUGGGAGGAGCCAACUUUGGGCAUGAUAUGACAGGGUAUUUUGACCAACUUUCGUUAAGUAUUAAUUGGAUUGGAGGGACUGUGGAAAAUCUGGUCCAACGUUUGCAUGUGGAGCAACCUCCUCACCUGGGGUAUCAUUACCCAAUUUUCCCUAGGUGGAGUGAGUAUCGAGGUCAAGGGGGAGAUGGAGCCGGUACAAGUGGAGCACGGGAUGAAGAAGAUGACGAUUGAGUUCUUAUUUUGUUUUUAUUUAGUUUUUGUUUUUUCGUUUGGUUUGAAUUUGUUUAGUUUUUAAACUUGUUAUGGUUUGUAAGACUUAUAACCUAUUAUGUUACUUUUAGUCGUCCUUUGGUGACUUUAUUUCAGAUUUUCUUUGGAGUCUCGAAAAAGAAGGUUGAGUCGAGAGUGUAUGUGUCUAGCCAAGGGUUGUUUAGAGUCUAGAGUCCUGAGUCGAGACCCACAAUUGAAAAUAAGUGUGGGGUGAGUCGAGAGAGAGGAUAAAUUUAGUGAAACGUCAUAGAAAUUUUGCAUUUAGAAGUGUGUUUAUCCAUUAAGAUAUUAGGGUGGAAUGCUGUGACAACCCGUAAAUUGUUCCGUCGUUGUAACCCACUCCCGUCGGUAAAACCCGUUUGUCUUUCAAUUUUCCCGUUAACAUUUUGGAUUAGGUCAUUUAAUUUAAGACUUUUAUUAUGACCUCGUAAGUAUCCAAACAUGUUAGAAACACAUGAAAACACUUUCGAUACAUAAUUGGAUAAUUUUUAGUUACGACCACAUCGGGUUACAAACACUUAAUCGGGUACGACCAAAAGCCUCGGUAAACGUCAGUAUCGGGUAGAAUUCCACCGUGUCUCAAACUCGACCCAUAUAUAAAGUUCAAAGAACUUUAUUUGAAGCUUUUUCAACCACUCUCUACUCUCUCUACAUAUCUAAGCUUUUGAUCCAAAAAUCACCCCCUUUCAAGCUCUAAUUAGGUAUGUAAUCCAUCCUAGCUCAUAGUAUAACAUCUUUAGCCUUCAAAUUCGUGUUUAAAUUAUGAAAAAGGACCAUAAACAUGUGUUUACGGCCCAGGAACAGCCCUAGGCCACAAACACACCUAAAUGAGGUUUUGGAGCCCCAAAACCCUUCCAAACCACCUUUAGAGCUUAAAUAUGACUUAGGGGCUUUCAAGACUGGACUUGGAACACCAAAAACUCAACAAUUGAGGGGUAAACAUGAGUUUACGUCCCAAGAACAUGCUUGGACUUUAAACCCCUUUUCUUAGGCCGUAAGCACCUUCUAAGGUGUUAAAAUGCCCCUUAAACACCUCCUAAGCCUUGGAAUAAUGUCUAGAACCAUUCACAAGUAUGUUAGGGACCUUAAUCAUCAAGAAAACUACCCCCUUAGGAGUUCACGACCAUAAACCCCCCAAGGAUGGGUUCCUGGGCCGUAAACUCCUAUAAAUGGGUCAAAUGGUGCCUUAACUUCAUCCGAUGACUUGUAAAAUGAGUUAAAUCACAUGUGAUUAAUCUUGGACCACUAAAACACAUACGGAUUGGCUGUGAGAGAGUUUAAGGCUUUAAACUCCUAGUUUAUAGCCGUAAACUCCAUUAAAUGGUCCCUUUGAUAGUUAAACCACUUCCUAUGCCCUAGAUUUGAUCCUAUCAUCACCCCACAAGUGUUAUAAGGCCAUUUAGCAACCAAGAACCCACCACCCAUGAGUUUACGGCCGUAAAAUCAUGGGGAUAUGUUCUAUGGGCCAUAAUCUCCUUUAGGAGUUUACUCUUGAAGGGAAAACUCCAUAUCUUGGCCCUAUACCCUCGUAGAUGUCACCCGGGUCACUCCAAACACUUGAAUUGAAGUGUUUUCGCGUCUAGAAGUGUUUAUUCUUAUUUAAUUAAUAGAUCAAGGUCUAAUUAGAUAAAAAUUAUGUAUCUGUUCAUAUUACAUAGGAACCUCCCGUGUUUUCAUGCCCCGAACUGACAAUUAGCUUCCAACCGACACAUUUCUCGUCUGGUGAGUUCAUACCCCUACGCCUUUUCCGAGUUUUUCAAUGUUUUCAGGGGGGGGGGGGAAUACAAGCAAACUAUAAAUGUUUUCGAAACUUAAAACUGAUGUAAUUCUAUAAAUAUCUGGCAAACUUUUAGAUAUCUUUACCCCUUUUGUAUCAUGCAGAGCAUAAGGGAUGUUUUUAUGAAUAUAACUAAGUAGAUUUCAAUUAUAGUGUAAGAAAAAAUCAAAACAAUCAAAUUAUUAUGGGAAUAAUUUGGGAUCUUCAGUUCUUGUUUUACGAGUACAGGUUUCAUGCAAAGUUAAUAGAUAAACUAUGUCUGAUUCAAUUUAUCUCUGUUUAAUUUAGAGUAUCAUGCCAGAUAAUUUCUUUGUAUUCAAUUGUUUUUACUGUAUUAUGUUUCAAAACGAUUACGAUGUUUGAUAGCGACCGAGUACACCGUGAAUAAUUUAAUACUAGCUUGUGAGGUUUGUCUUCAUUAAACCCUUCAGGUUAUCAGUAAAUCCUCCCCGGAAGUAUAACUAGAGUCUCCUGGAGGGAGAGCGUGGAAUUUGUGAAUAGAUCUAUUUGGGACUAACAAUCCCACACCUUAACUGCUAGCUACAGUUAGGCGGGCACGCAUGGGUUGACAAAUUCUGGAUAUCGUCCGAUGCCUGAAGAACGUCAAGGAGGUCUGGUGUCAUAUUACCAUGGUUAUCCGACUCAUAAUACGUAUUAAUAUAAAUUUUGUUCACGGAUUUUAUAUCUUCCUUUAAUCUAUAGUUUUAUAUAUUAAAACUACCUACUGUUGUACUGGAUGGUAAUCUAGGGUUUUUCAAUACAUAGUUUUACAUAUUAAACUAUCUACUGUUGUACCAAACGAAAUUCAGAAGUUUAACUAAACUGUCUUUAUAAGAAAAUAUGGGAUUUUCUUGGAUAACAACUUUUCAGAAAACCAAAGGAAACAUGAUCUUUUUACAUAAACAAACAACUUAUGAACUCACUAGCUUUAUGCCGAUUUUUAAACUACUUGUAUUCUCAGGUUCUCCUUAGACAGGUAUCCCGCAUUCUUUUUCAGAAGACGGAGCGUAUGGAAGUCUCGUCUUACUUUUGUUUAGACUAAUGUAUCUAUAAAACUUGUAUUACUUUACUUUCAAACAAAUGUAAUGAUUUUAUGUAAUGUAAUGUUUUGUGUUUACUUUGCUUACUAUGUACAUUGGUUGCAAUACUACAUGACAUCCUCCGCCCCAGAACGUUUCCGCCUUCGGUUGCGGGGUGUGACAAAUGCUAAAAUUAUUAAGAAAAAUAGGCAGUUUAAAUUUUCAGUCGCUCAGUUCUCACGUCGUGAGGCUAUAUUCCUCAUGUCGUGAGUUGGGUUACAAGGCAUUUUAGAAUACGCAGUUCAGCGAUUUCAUGUCGUGGGACAUAUUACUCACGUCGUGAAUUUUCUGAUUUCACCAUAUUAAAUCCUUUACAUUCCUAUUCAUUACAUGGAUCACCACCAUUUCAUUUGGAGUUAUUAUAAAGACAAUUAUCGGUUGUUUCCUUCGCUGUACACUGUGGCGUAUGCUUUCCAACGUUAUUUUUCACACUUUGGAGUCUUGCAACACUCUUAUUGAAGAUUGAAGUUUCGUUUUGUUGUUUGAUGGCUCAUUUACUUAUUUCGCGAGUUCAAGUCCAAGUUCCUAAUUAGAAGUUCCAUAUUCGAGAUGCACAUUUCUCCCACACAUCUGGAGUUCGAUCGCGCCACUAUCCCUGGGGAGUCUGUUCCUUUUUCUCCUUUUUUAUUGUUUUUUUAGUUUAUGCAUACAAUGAGGCAUUGUAUGAAAUAAGUGUGGGGUAGCGGGUCGAAAAAUAAAUUGCUAGAAAUUAGUAAAUUUAAAAAUUUUUAGAAAUAGAUUUGAAAUAAUAAUCUAAGUAAAAAUUUCAAGUAAUAACGAUAAUUUAAACUCUAGUUGCUAGUGUUAUAUAGGAUGAUCUGAUGAGACCUCAAAUGUUUAGUUAAGCCGAUACAUGUUAUAGUGCAUUUGUGGCCUCCUUUAUUCUAGUGAAAUCAUGGGAAAAAAACACAACCUCGCUUAGUUUGAGGAUUACAAUAUGUUUAGCAGCCUAUACUUGAAAUGUAUUCAGGAAAACUAAUACCUUAACCAAUAAGGGUUGAAGUAAAGCGCCCCUACUUAAGCAUUUAGGUUUUAAGUAAAAAAAAGUGAGGACAUGUAAAAAUAAUGAGAGAAAUUAGCAAAAAGUGAAAAAUUGAAGAAUUUUGGGAGCUAUAGAAGUAUCAAAGUUUGAAGAUCAAAGAUCAAAAAUUUUGAAGUAUCAAAAGUUGAAGAUACCAAAAAUUACACAAAAGAUGGUGAAUUCAAAUAAAUUGAAGAUCAAAUAUCAAAGAAGUGAAGAAUUCAAGAGCUCCAUAGUGUGGUAUCUUAAAAGUUGUAAUUCUCUAGUUUAUGUAUGCUUGGGUUGCUUUACAAAAAUACCUUGAGGUUAGGAUGAUUUACGUAAAUGGAUUCGAAGGGAUGCAUAAAAUGAGCAUUGUUCAAAAGAAGUGGGCGCGUGUUUAUGAGGAUUGUGAGUAUUUAGAAUUGGGGGGGGGGGUACUUAGGAAAAAUUUUAGACACAAAUGCAUGCGUUGAGAUCAUGGCAUAAUGGUUGAGAUGGAAUUGGAUUGUUCUAUGUGAUGCUAGUGAUGAAGGCUUAAGCUAAAAUAAGUAGAUUUGCUUGAGGGCAAAUCAAAGCAUAAGUGUGGGGUAUUUUGAUAUUGCCAUAUUUAUACAUAUUUUUAGGCAAUAUUUAUUUACAUUUUUAUUAAUAUUUUGGUUAUUUUCAUAGAAUUAUGGUACUUAUAGGGAUAAAUUGUUGUUUGCAGCCAAAGUGAAGCAUUUUCGAAGAAAGGGACCAAAAUGGACAAAGCAUGAAACUAUGAAGGCUUGAAAGAAGAAAGAUAGGAAUCCAACAAUAAGUCGCACUCACGACGUGAGAGUUGAAGGCUCACGACGUGAGUGAAGUAAUCUAGAAGAUAUGCAUCAGGAUGGAAGACACCUUGUAUAACACGGAUAGAUGCAUGCUCACGACGUGAGACGUUAUUUCUCACGACGUGAGGCUGGAAAAAUCAGAAAUUAUAAAUACUCUAGGCCAUUACGAUUUUGGAGGCUUUUGGCUGAUAGAAGGCAUACCUAGAGAUGAUUUUGAGAGGAGAAGAAGUUAUGGAAAAGGUUUUUAUCACCUAAGGAGAGGAAAGUACAUCAAUAGCUUAUUUGCUUGGUACAUUCAUUAUGNAUCUAUUAUAUUGUUUUAGUUUGUUUGUUGCUAUGAGCAACUGAAUCUAGCUACUCUUGUUUAGCUAGAUGAAGCUUCCGACUUAUGGUUUAGCUUAUUAAUAAUGGAUUUAUUUAGUUGGUAAAUUGCUUGUGUUUGAUUUGUUACCACCUAGCAUGUUAAUAUUUGUUUCUUCGGUUGCUUGAAUUCAUGUUCUGUGUAGCUUAGUGAUUAUUAAAUUACAUGAACUUGAAACCUAGUGAUUUAGUGAGCAUUAAAUUGCUUGAGCUAGGAUCGACCAAAAUCUUAGAUAGAAAUUGAAUUAAAUAAACUUAGCUGUGCUAGAGAACAUAAAUUAUGACCAUAAUUGUGUUUGCUUAAUCUUACAUAGCAAAUUCAUAAUCUACAACUUAUUCUGUGUUUGAUUGUGUAUGACCAUACAUAGCGUANNNNNNNNNNNNNNNNNNNNNNNNNNNNNNNNNNNNNNNNNNNNNNNNNNNNNNNNNNNNNNNNNNNNNNNNNNNNNNNNNNNNNNNNNNNNNNNNNNNNNNNNNNNNNNNNNNNNNNNNNNNNNNNNNNNNNNNNNNNNNNNNNNNNNNNNNNNNNNNNNNNNNNNNNNNNNNNNNNNNNNNNNNNNNNNNNNNNNNNNNNNNNNNNNNNNNNNNNNNNNNNNNNNNNNNNNNNNNNNNNNNNNNNNNNNNNNNNNNNNNNNNNNNNNNNNNNNNNNNNNNNNNNNNNNNNNNNNNNNNNNNNNNNNNNNNNNNNNNNNNNNNNNNNNNAACCAUAAUUAACAAGGAACCAAGGAAACAAUCGUGAGCAUCGAAAAUCAUAAUGAUCAACGACCAAAAAAAUAAAUGUACACUUUUAUGUUGGACUCACACAUACCAUAUUAUAACAAAAAAUCAACAUCUUUACCAAAAUACAUACCUCUUUUAUUCGUUUAAAAACAAAAUUAGGCCACAUUUUUUAUUAAAAAAAAUGGAAUAUACCGUUCUUCUCGAUUUUUCGUUCUCUUUCCAUAGAGAUCCAUGUUGAUAUAUAAAUUUUUUUUUCUGGAAAAAACCAACAUCAUUUUGUUAGUUUUUUCAAAAUUUAAGGUUAUUGUUAUUAAAAAAAAAAUUGUAACAAAAAUAUUAAUUUUUUGUACUCUAUUAAUAAACACUAACACUGGUUUAAAAAAAAAAAAAAAAAAAAAAAACCCCUCUAACAAUGUAGAUUCACACUGUGAAUCUAAACUGUAAAUAUUUCAAUUUUUAACAUUCACAAUGUGAAAAAGCUCGAAUAGUUCAGAUUCACAUUAUAAAUCUGACUUAUUAUUAUGCAUACUGUGAAUCUGACAAAGUUCACAAAAAAAACCUUGAUUAAUGUAGAUUUACUAUGUGUAUCUAAACUUUAAAUAUUUCAUUUUUUAACGUUCACAAUGUGAAAAAACCCCGAUCAGUUCUGAUUCACAAUGUUAAUCUAACUUACUAUUAUGCACACUGUGAAUCUGAGCAGGUUCACAAUGUGAAUCUGAACAGGUUCACAAUAUGAAUCUGAACUGAAAUAUCGUUUUUUUUUUUAUAAGAAUAUGAAUUUAUGUUUAAAAACUACAAAAAAUAACAUGAAUUUUGUUAUAUUUAUUAAUUUUUUUCUAUAAAAAAUUGACUUUAACUUUUCAACAAAGAAAAUAAAGUGAGUUUUUUUUUCGAAAAAAAAAAAUUCGUUUUUUAUAUAACAUUAUGAAUCUCUUUAGAAAGAUAACGAAAAAUUAUAAACAACGGUAUACUCGGUUUAUUAUUUUUUUAUUUUUUUUUUGAUAAAAAACAUGGAAUGAAAAUUUUAAACGAAAAAAAAAAAAGUGAAUUUGGUUAUAAUCCGGUGCAUGUGCGUCCAUCGUAAAAGUCUACAACCUUUGUUUUUCUAUCGCUUUAAAUUUCGACGCUCUGGAUUGGUUCUUUGGUUCCUUUAUNNNNNNNNNNNNNNNNNNNNNNNNNNNNNNNNNNNNNNNNNNNNNNNNNNNNNNNNNNNNNNNNNNNNNNNNNNNNNNNNNNNNNNNNNNNNNNNNNNNNNNNNNNNNNNNNNNNNNNNNNNNNNNNNNNNNNNNNNNNNNNNNNNNNNNNNNNNNNNNNNNNNNNNNNNNNNNNNNNNNNNNNNNNNNNNNNNNNNNNNNNNNNNNNNNNNNNNNNNNNNNNNNNNNNNNNNNNNNNNNNNNNNNNNNNNNNNNNNNNNNNNNNNNNNNNNNNNNNNNNNNNNNNNNNNNNNNNNNNNNNNNNNNNNNNNNNNNNNNNNNNNNNNNNNNNNNNNNNNNNNNNNNNNNNNNNNNNNNNNNNNNNNNNNNNNNNNNNNNNNNNNNNNNNNNNNNNNNNNNNNNNNNNNNNNNNNNNNNNNNNNNNNNNNNNNNNNNNNNNNNNNNNNNNNNNNNNNNNNNNNNNNNNNNNNNNNNNNNNNNNNNNNNNNNNNNNNNNNNNNNNNNNNNNNNNNNNNNNNNNNNNNNNNNNNNNNNNNNNNNNNNNNNNNNNNNNNNNNNNNNNNNNNNNNNNNNNNNNNNNNNNNNNNNNNNNNNNNNNNNNNNNNNNNNNNNNNNNNNNNNNNNNNNNNNNNNNNNNNNNNNNNNNNNNNNNNNNNNNNNNNNNNNNNNNNNNNNNNNNNNNNNNNNNNNNNNNNNNNNNNNNNNNNNNNNNNNNNNNNNNNNNNNNNNNNNNNNNNNNNNNNNNNNNNNNNNNNNNNNNNNNNNNNNNNNNNNNNNNNNNNNNNNNNNNNNNNNNNNNNNNNNNNNNNNNNNNNNNNNNNNNNNNNNNNNNNNNNNNNNNNNNNNNNNNNNNNNNNNNNNNNNNNNNNNNNNNNNNNNNNNNNNNNNNNNNNNNNNNNNNNNNNNNNNNNNNNNNNNNNNNNNNNNNNNNNNNNNNNNNNNNNNNNNNNNNNNNNNNNNNNNNNNNNNNNNNNNNNNNNNNNNNNNNNNNNNNNNNNNNNNNNNNNNNNNNNNNNNNAUGUGUUGUAAAGAACAUUUUUAGGGUGUAACUAACUUUAGUGUGGCAUGUUACAAAUGCACGAAAUAUGAAUCAUUCAAUCUAGUUAACAUAUGAAUACAUUGAUUUGAUGUUCAUCGUGAGAGAUAGAUACACAUUGAAUAUUUAAAAUUGCAUAUGUGUAUUUUAGCGGUUUGAUUUCUAAAGAGCGAUGGUUGAAUUCUGAGUCCCACAUGGAUGUUUACGCUGGUGACAAGUGUUCAAUCGAUGUAAACUGCCUCGGUUGUCUACACUAGUCUUUUGAAACUACAUUUAUUAAAUACUUGUAUUGAGAGUAUGAAAAUCAAAUACAAAAUUAUGUUCCAUGCACAUAGGGGUUGCUCGGUGCAAUUAGGAUCACCCCUAGUCAAAAGACGAUUGCGUCAUUUAGUUACUAAGAAUGGGUCAUAAAUCAUAAUGGAUGACCAUGUAUUUUUUUUUUGUCAAUUGUUGUGUUGUUUCGUAAUGUAUGUAACGCAUGAUGAUUUUUUUGACUAGAAAGAGGGACUCAUCAGACCAUAGUAAACGUGUCUCUUAUACAUCGUCAUUUAGUUGACUUAUUUUGUGUUGUACGUAGAUAUAUCUUAAAUAAUCAAAAGACAAUUCAAAUGGAAACAAACAUGUAUGGAUAUAAAAUAUUCAAAAAUAAAUUAAAAUAAAUAAUAUGUUUAACAUCUUAUGGUUAGUACUCAUUCGAUUGAUACCUAAUGCGUUUGUAACUCCAAAAUGAAUUGUUUUCCAAAUCAAUUAUCUUUAAUAUAUAUUUUCCUUUUCUUAAUAUGAGAAAAUAACUUGUUAAAGUAAUUAUUUUUACGUUUUAUUUACGUUCAGAAAAUUUUUUUGUAAACAUUUGAUCAAUUAAUUUGUUAAAUGCCUUUACAAAUUAAUUAACGGUAAAAUGUUAACAUAUUUAAGAAGUUAAGUGGUCAACUCUAUACAAAAUAAAAGUUGUUUAAAUGUAAAUAAUUUUUUGAGGUUUUUUUUUUCUUUAACACUUUUUAUAAUUUAUUACAAUAUUUUAAAGAUAUUUUUUUAUAAGUUUUUCUAAAACAAUGUUUUAAAUUUCACUUAUAAUUUCUAUAACUUUUUUUUUAUACUUUUGUAUAAUAUUCAUAUAAUUAUUAUUUUUUCACUUUUUGCAACCAUGUAUUUUCUAAAAUAUUUAAACUUUAUUACAAGUUUUUAAUUUUUUGUUUACAUUUUCAUACAAUUUUUUCUAAACUUUGUUUUACAAUAUUUUAAAAAUAUUUCAUUGAUUUUGUAGAACAAUUUAAUAUUGUUUUAUAACAUUUUAAAAUGUUUUCAUCAAAUACAAGUUUAAGUUUAGAACAUUGUAUUAAAAAGUCUAUAAACUUCUAAUUAAAAUGUCAAAAAAUUGUAAUAAUUUUAAAACAUUUACAUUAUAAAGUUUUUGUUUUUAUUUUUUUUAUUUGCUACAUAAUAUUUUGUUUUUAUUUUUUUCAAACACUCUACACAGUUAUUGUUUCAUAUUUAAUUUAUUUAAUUUUAUUGUCUGAUACUAUUUACUUUAAAAAUAUUGCAUAUGUUUAAAAAAAGUAAUAAAAUAAGGUGCUUUAUAAAUUAUUUCACAAAAAAAAAUAUAUUUAUUAAUUACCAUUUUCACUUGAGAUAAUCGGUGACAAUAAUAAAAUGUGAGCACAUUUAACAUGUUAAAUGGUCAAAUGAGGUACAAAAAAGUUAUCUAAAUGUGAACAAAACGAAAGAUGAUUACCAUAAUUUGGGGUUGGAACAUCCUUUUUUCAAAACAAAAAUUUUCAUUUUUAAUUUAGGUAAAAAUGUCAUUUCAUAAAACUCAAGUCAAGAAAACUCAUAAGUAUCAAAUACAGUCAUCCCAAAAUUAGAGUAUCAUAAUAAUGCAGAAUCACAAAAGUUGUUGAUAAGUGUAUACAAUCAAGCCUUCGCAUUCCCACGACCAUAUAAAGUACCUGAAACAUAUUUAAUUAACAAUUGUUGGCACGAAGCUUAAUGAGUUCCCGAAAGUCUCACGUACAACACAUCACAAAUAAACAAUUAUGGGUUAUCAGCAACCCUAGAGACCAUCAAUAGUCUUGGAAUUAUCAACAAAUAAGACUCAGCUAGUCUAGCAUUUACACACUAUGAUAUAGGUCAUACAGUGAGAACACUCACCCAAUCAAAUAGAUGAAAUCCACUACUCAAAGCCCCAUAGAAUCAGCUACACGAACUUCCUUAACCAAUCACAAGCUAAACCUCAGAUUAUAGCUCAAGACCUCUCCAAAUAUGACCUAAAGUCAAACUGGUCAAUAGUCAAUGGUCAACCCUCAGGUGACCUAUGCUCAAUGUAGUAUACUGCUCUACGCUAAGCAUACAUGACUUUCCUACGCUCAUCAUAGCCUAAAAAGUCGAAAAACUAUAUUAAGCUCUUAAUACAAAAAGCCAAUCCCUCGAACUUUUAGAUAUGGACCCUUACAAUAUCUUAAUGGAUAAAGUUUCCAACUUUACCUAUUAAGACACUCCAAUCAAGCAAGAUCUAAACUUUAUGCACUAAAAUGACCAAAACUGCUACCAUAACGUGCAUGGCUUAAUGAACAAGCACCAAAGCACAAAUUUCCAACUCCAACAAGUCCUAAGAGUGUUCUGUAUAGCUUAGAAGGUGUUGGAGUUCUCUUAACUCCCAAAAUACAAGCUCAAUGGACCAAAAAGUGACAAAAAUGGCCAAUAACAGGAUCUAAGAAAACAAUGAGCAUGUUAGAAGCUUUUUAUUCAUAAUGGUCCAAGUAUGAAGCAACCUUGUUGGAUCUAUAGUUCAAACCAUCUUCCAUGCACGUUACAAAAACCUUGUUCUUCAAGGAUCAAAACAAGCAACAAGGAGCUAGGGUUUCUCAAGGAAUGAUCUGAGGUGAUGGACAUUGGUCAUGGGAAGGAUCCUAAGAAAUUCGAGCCUUUAAAUAUGGCUCUAAACCUUAGGUUUAGGGUUUCGGUCUUUUGCGGCUAUGCUCAGUGUAGCCUAACCUACACUUAGUAUAGGUCAUUAAUAUGCAUCCAAUUCUUUCACCUACGCUCCACGGAGGAGGCUUUCCUAUGCUCAUCAUAAAGCAGAAUUCCUAAUUUUCCAUUUUAGCUUCAAAUAGUAAUAACUUCUUCAUUUCAACUUCGUUUUCGAUGACUUUUAUAUCCACGCAAAAGUAUUGAGAAGCCACACAAUUUUAUCUAAUUAUUUUUAACUUACAACAUACCAAACUAAAUUCAUGCAAGAAGUCCAAGAUAUCAUUUUUCUAAUUUUACCCUUUGGCUCCAAAGCACAACUUAUGACUUAAAUCACUUAACCAACAUCAUCAACAUCCAGUAGGGUCUAAACUCUAUUUCUAUGAAGCUUAAGACCUUAUUAGAACUGAUUACAAGCCACUAACCCAAAAUUAGAGACAUCCCCAAAUUAAAUGUUACAAUUCUUCCCCGUUUAAACUGGAUUUCGUCCUUGAAAUCCAACUCGCUAAGAAUUUCUGGAAACUACACUAACACAAUCCUUAUGCUCCUUCUAACUACUUCAUAAAAACAACACAUCCAUAACGAAAACUCAAGAGACCAUUCAAACCCAAAUGAUGCCAACAAACAUUUAACGCCUGCAAAUUUGGGCUAGACAUUUAAGAUAGAGUAAAUAAUAUUAGCUAAAUAUGUAGUAGUCGUAAUGAAUAUCUCACGGGUAUAAGGAACACUUAAAUUCAACUACAUAUGAAGAAAUUAUGCUUCUUCGAAGUUUCACGCAAUCCAUCUUGGCCUGCCACGACGUUGUGUCUCCACCACGUCGUAGGAAACCCUUAAAUACCAAAAUUUGAAAAACAUAAAGUACCUUGGGAUCCAGGUGUUACACUCAUGGAUUCAUUACAGACACUUCAUGCACUUAACCAAAUUCUCAUUUGCAUACACAUAUACAAGUGUUACAUAUAUAAAUAGCAGUUGCAGCUCCAACAUUCUCCCCACACCUUCAGUAACUUUUCUCUAUAAUGCUCUGAGAUAUUAGCUCGAAUUUCCCUAGAUUUGAGAAGCAGUGAGCGAGGCUCUAAGUCGUCAGAGUGUCCAAAAAGUAUAAGUGUUUAAGAAACUCUAUAAGUUAAGUUGCACUUAUUUUAUUUCAAUUCUAACUUAUACUUAUUGAUGAGUUUAUAAAACUCUUUGAUCGAUUAGAUCUUUAUAACAGGCAAACAAGUAAAGUAAAAACAGUGAAAUAAAAACACAAGUAUGGAUCUGAAUGAGUCGAAUGAUUAAAAUCAAUCCUUAGUAGAGCUCGAUGAAGAACUUCCGCUGUAGAGGAUUCUAGGGUUACAAAAGAUAAGAACAUAAACGCUAUUAAAACUCUAUCAAAUCUUUUCUUAUUUCCCUAUAAAGAAUGCAUGCAAGCAUCUAUAUAUAAUAACCCUACAAAUAACUCACGGAUGGACAGGCCCAUACCGGAGACAAAACUGGACUAGCUAACGAGCCCAAAGACGCAACACUAAACUGGANUGCAAGACUAUCAUUUAUUCUUACUCGGACCAGCUGUCGGAACCUUCUUGGUUGUAUCAAACAGACGAGAGAUAAGUGCAAGAAUUGUCUAUCUGAAGCGAAUGUACCAUUGAAUCAUAUCAUCAAAGUACUUCUUGUCAUCCGCUGAAUUCUGCUUGCACCGAUGAAUGAUCCCUAAGACGUGUUCCAGACAUGCAGUGCUAUAGAGAUGUUUGUCUGCCAAAGCGAACAGGCAUUUUUGGCCUUCGUUUCUGGUAAACAUAACUAAAUUUCUCUUCGAGUCUAUCUUCCCCAUCUACAUCAUGUUGAGAUCACUUGCUGAGCCAACAGGAGAAAUAGUAGGAUUUUUCUUGAAGACACUCACUAUCUCCUGAUCCAUCUUGGUGACUUCCAUGAUGUAGCAAACAAGCAUCCUCUUGAAGUGGUCAAUGAUCGGACCAUAUUCUGCUUCAUUUGUAAGAAGGAUGCUAUGCAAAAUAAUCCAGUCGUGUGGAUUCAAGUUGGGAAGAUCAGAAAGCGAGAUGGCAUGUUCGGUCUUGGCAGAUCCUCUCAGCACAUUAAACUGAACGUUGGUGAAGUUUCCUUCCAGAUACGGCUUGAGGACCCGAACACUAACAAUCUUCUGAGUGCUCCAUGUUUGAUACUGUGGUUGAGCGGCCCUCUGAUAGAAUUAGACCAAAUCUCGGUCAACCUUUGGAUGAGGAUGAGGGAACUCAGCAAUGUUGUCAAAGGCGUGAAAGACGAACGCCUUUCGGGUCAGUGGCAUGUCGAAUUGAGAAUCGACAGAAUUAUCACGAUCAAGUGAGAUCACUGGUUUUAGCCACAAGAUGCUUGGAGUUUCGAUGGCUUCUUUCAGCAACUUCUCAAGAUUCCAAGGAGGAAAAAGAGUUUUCCUACUCUCGACAAGGUCGUGAGCUUCUUUCUGUUUUCGUUCAGCUUCUUCAGCCUCUCUAGCAACCCGAGCGCUAAUGUCAGCGUCCUUGUCUCGGCUUUGCUUUUUCAAAAGAUCGGAAAUGGUCUCUUUAUCUUCAUCGUCAUUAUCUUCAGCAAUUUUCUUGCCCUUGUCUUUGACACCCGAACCUGAGGCUUCGCCUAUUGGAGGAGGUUCGGUUGUUUUGGUUGCUGUAGAAGUAGGAGGUGGUUGAGACACAUUUUUAUUUUCCCCCCUUGUUUCGGAAUGGACACGAAAUCAAGGAGCCCUUCAAUCUUGCUCAGGAGAGAAAGGGCAGGAGCAAGUUUUUCUGCGAGAGUUCGCCUCACAGAGUAGUUUAAAAUCGGGUCAUGUGCUUCCAGGAUGUUUGAGAUGGCUGCGUGGACAUCCGAAACACACGAAGACACAAUCUCUCUUUCAGAUCGAAGAGAGUCAAUCUCCUUUUGAGAAUUGGAGAGUUGAAUACUCUUGACCUUAAGAGCAGUGGUCUUUCUGGCAAGAGCAUCCAUAAGAGAAUUUUCAGCAGCAAGAUCUUCUUGAAGCUUAGUCAGUCGCUCCUCAAUCGUCACCUAAAAGGAUGAGUUGUCAUCUGAGAGAGUUUGACGAAGAGUGGCAAAUGACUUCAGUUCUGAGGCAAUUGAGGUAGCCAGCGUGUUGACGAUGGGGUCAAGCUUUUUUGUGGUGGCUUCGGCAGUUUCCUGUAAGGACUUCAACAGAGAGGAAGCAUCAGUAAAUAAUUUUUCAACUUUUUAGGUCGCUACCUCAUAGGCUUUGGUGGAUGUGGCAAUGGCGGCAGUAGCUGAGCUAACUGAGGCUUCAUGAGCCUUAGUAAAAGCGUCAACUAUUCUCUGAACAACUUUAGAGAAGGAGGACUGUGAUGAAGAAGAGGAGGCGAUGAGCGAAUCUAUCUUUUCGUGAAGCUCCUUAAGAUGCUUCUUGGUAACGGGAGCAUCAUCAUCGUCGUCACUCUGUACCUAAAACGAACUGUAAUAGACCGAAUCAAAUGUCAUAUCCUCCCCGCCGAGGAAUGGUUCUUCAUCCUCUGCUUCCUGAGCAGGAGAUGAGGGUGGAGGUGAAGGUGGAGGCUUGGUAGUUGUAGUAGGUUCGGGUUGGGAAGUAGGUUCGGUAGUUGGAGUGGGUUCGGGUGCUUUAGUAGGAGCCCCCGUAUUAGAUACGUUAGUUCUUACUUCAGCAGUGGUUGCGGUAGCGUCUGUAAAAAUAGGAGGUGGUACGGGGAUAGAGGUAGGUGGUAUUUUAGUGGUGGAGGUUAUGGGGGAAUGGAAAUAGGAAUGGUAACUGGUGGAGAAGAGAUAGGUGAAGUAGAAAAGUGAACUUCUGGGGUAGGCGAUCGUGGAGGAGUGUUGCAACGAGGAGACUCAUCAGAGUCUGAAUUAUCUUCCUCAGAUUUGCUUGAGGAUGAAGCCAAGAUCAGCUUUCACCUUGGUUGGGUUUUUCUCUUCUUCGGCGGAGGGGAUUGGGCAGCUUUGGUAGUUUUGCGUUUCUUGGGAGAAGGGCCUUUCGCUCCCUUGCCAAUCAGCUUGUCUUUGCCUUUGUCAUUCUUCUUUCCCCUUGGGGUAGGCUUGUCAACUUCAUGGAUGGACUUGAUCAUCUCAGGAGUGAGCUCUCUCGGACUAGAGCGACGAAACUCCUUGUAGGUUCGGAUUAUCCGGCUGUCUGCAGGAACAUCUCCAUACAUCGACUCAGGGAUAGAGCCGAUGAAUUGAAACUUAGAUGCGUCGGAGACAAUGAUCUUCGUGGUAUGGAAAGUACCAAUCGAAGACAUGGAGAACCAGCAACAAUGGGGACGUGGUACUUGUCCAUCACCCAUUUUGUAAUGAGAGUCCAAAAACGAGCAUAGGAAAUCUCGGAAUGCCGAGAAGUAGAAGCCAGACUCUGAAUGAGCUGCUGCCAUAGCACCGACCCAUAAUCCAGGUUGAUACCGUUGUAGACCCCAUAUAGAAUCGUGAUGAACAGACAACUCGCUCCGUCUGAUCCAGCACUACAUUCAGACAACCCUUUGAACAGCACUGUAAACAACCCAUUCCACUGAGGAGGCAGGCACGAUUUCUUGAACUUCGUGACCAUUGUUAGCACCUCAGUAUACCCCAUGUUGUAGAACAUAGAGAACAUGUGACCCACCGGAAUCGAUUCAGGGUUAACCCUAGAUGAAUCAGGUUCAAACCCUAAAAUUGAGCUGAAUCGCUGCUUGGAGAUUGACGCCUUGUGAUCAAGCACGUCGAAGAAGAUCAUGUCGACUGACUUGUCGUAAUGAGCAGUGGCGAAAAUCUGAGAUAAGAAGUCCAUAGGAACUGCUUCAGCUUUGGUAAGUGCAGGAGCAAGUGGCGAGUAUCUAAGGCACUCGAUGAUCGGGAACAUGAAGGCAUCAUAGACUUGAGGAGUAAGAUCGAUGAUCAAACUCUGUUGGGGAUGAAUCGGCAGGAUGUAGGAAGUGGCAUGAACUGAUGAUGAAUCUGCCAUUGUUGUGAAGAAGUUGAGAGAGAUGAUGAAGAGUAGAAUACGUGAAGAAUUUCUUAUUCUCUGAAAUUUGGGUGCAGUAAAGAGGUAAACAAUGGUUGAAGUCACCUUUUAUACUGUGGGUAGAGGAGAGAGAAGAAUCUGUCCCAAAUCUUCGAAGGAAAUACAAAGAGUUUUUCAGAAGUGAUUGAUGUGUGGCAGUUGGUAGCACCGAUGAUUACGCAUGAGAGAGAAUGACAGUCCCGAUUUACACGCCUUCCCGUCAGGCGCCGCUUUUAAACGAAACGGUUCCACUUCGCACGCCUGGCCUCCAAGCGCCGUUUGAAAACAAAUCGAUUGGACUCCCGCCUGAGUCAGCAUCUUAUCCUUUUAGAUUAAACGUCAUCUUAAAGCAAAAUUGACCACGUGGAUCAAUGUGAGCCACAACUCUUUUAUGACUUCAAAUCCCAUUUUAAAAAAUAUGCCUUGUGACUAAUGAAACCAGAAUUUUGGAAAAUCAAAAAGAUUUUCGUGCGUAUUGUGUAAAAGAAAAAGAAAUAAAGCAACACAUAUGAGGGAAUUUGUGAUGUCAGUAAAGACACGAAACAAAGGAUCUCAGGACGAAUCUCUUCCUUAAAAGUCAAGAGGGACUUUAAAGUGUUUGUGUGGUUUCCCGUUGAAUAACGAUCAAACACUUAUUGAGAAGUGUUGAAAGGCUUCUUUUAAUCAGGCUAAGUUGGGUGGCUUUCGCUUCAGUUCAGAGUUCCUGAUCUUGCUAUAAGAUAGUAAUCGAACGAAGUACUUGUGAGACCAAUGCAGUCUGUUGAACAAGUAGGUUUGAAAUAUUUUAAGUGGUAAUGAAAAAUAAUUUUAUGUAAAAUCUCAAAAAAAAAAUUAAAACUGGAUUUCCAAGGGAAGAAAUGUUAUGGGUUUUAACAAUUUCAUAGGAAUCACACAAAAGAAAAUCAGAGAUUUUACUUUCCAUCCUCAUUGAUAAGUCCGUCAAUUCGUUAGUGAAAGCUAGAGCAAAAUUGAUUGUUCACCGUCAAUACAUAGUAGGUAUUGAAUUGUGGGUUUCACUUAGUACGUAGUGACACGAAGCUAAGAUCACAAACAUAGAAAUUGUGUAACCAUAAACCUCAGUGGUAAUUUCUGAGAGUCUCAAGGGUUACGUUUAUGAAGCGAAUGAGAUGGAGAAAAGUAGUGUAGAUGGUGUAAAGAAAAACCAAAGUACCUCUGCUGUUAAAAUAAGGACCAAGCAGAAAACACUUAUCUCAUGUGAGAGGAGAGUUAGGUAGCUCAUGAUUAGAAUAAAUGUGAAAGCCUAAUUGGGAAGACAAAGUUUAUAUGUACCAAGUCAGUAAGGCUAUUAUUCAUAAUCAGGUGAGGCUUUGGACACAUACAGCAGCAUGCUUCUAGGGACACUUAACUAAUGAAAUAUUUUUUUCACACAAAUAGCCACACAAAAAUAAGAGAUAAAAGAAAUAUCGUACAAAUAAAAAUAAAAAAUAAAAAAAUAAAAAAAAUAAAAAUUAUUUUUGGAGUUUUUGAUUUAAAAAAAACAAAAAAAUGAGACAUACAAAAAAAAAUUUGGAACCGAACCCGAGCGUUCCGUCGAUUUCGGUUGCAAAGAAAAAUAAGUUUGAAAAAGAAAAGAACUUUGAAAAUAAGAGAGAUGAAUUUGAGAAAAUGAUACAAAAGAUUUACAACCAAAGAAACUACCUUUGAGUGAUGAGCGAAGAUCAGAUGAUAGGACCGAACCCGAGCGUUCGGUUCAUUUCGGCACACAAGUGACCCGAACCCGAACGUUCGGUACAUUUCGCUUCCGACUUUUAAUUUUGUGAAGUAGUCUUUGGUACUAACUCCGAUUCCAUCAUACCAAGCCCUUGUAGAAUUUUAUUGAAAGAUGCUUCAGGAAGAGCUUUGGUGAAGAUGUCAGCCAGUUGAUCAGUGGUUCGAACAAACUGAAUUUCGAGGUUCCCAUCUUCCACAUGAUCCUUAAUAAAGUGAUACCUCAGUGCUAUAUGCUUUAUCUUGGAAUGUUGCACUGGAAUGAUCCUUAAUAAAGUGAUAGCUCAAUGCUAUAGUGGGAUCUUUUUCAUAUUGAGUCCAUAGUCCCGGAGCUGCGAUGUAUUCUACUUCGGCUGUAGACUGAGAAACACAUGUUUGUUUCUUUGAUUGCCAGCUAACCAACUUCCCGUCUACGAAUUGACAGCCUCCAGUGGUGCUUUUCCUGUCUAAACCACAACCUCCAAGGUCUGCAUAUGAGUAGGCUUGAACAAAGAAACCUGAGUUUGAUGGAUGCCAUAAACCGAGACAGGUAGUUCGUUUCAGAUAACGGAGUAUGUUUUUCACUGCAAGCAUAUGUGGUUCACGAGGAUUCGCCUGAAACCUAGCACAGUAACACACAGAAAACAUUAUAUCAAGCCUGCUAGCUAGANCUAAGUUUCAAGGGUUUGCACCCUAUUUAAACCCUCAUUCCGCCCCAACUCGUCCCCAUUCACCCCAGAACUCCCCCCUACAUCGUUUUUCCCUUGUUUUCUUGAGAGUUUGAGGUGCUCUUAGUGUAUUCUUGAAGGUUUUGAAGUGUAAAAGGGUAGAUCAAGAAGAGGAGAAGGAGAUCAGCCAACCUUGUGUCAUUUCAGCAUUUCCCCUUAAGGUAUAACCCGUUUUCCCCUUGAUUCUAUGCUUAAAACUUCAUUUGGGUCCUUCUUGGUCAAUUCCCCAAGUUUGCAUGUUCAUUAUAUGUUGUAAUAAGGCGUUUGGCCUUUGGAUCUAUGUAAGAUNAACCCUCAUUCCGCCCCAACUCGUCCCCAUUCACCCCAGAACUCCCCCCUACAUCGUUUUUCCCUUGUUUUCUUGAGAGUUUGAGGUGCUCUUAGUGUAUUCUUGAAGGUUUUGAAGUGUAAAAGGGUAGAUCAAGAAGAGGAGAAGGAGAUCAGCCAACCUUGUGUCAUUUCAGCAUUUCCCCUUAAGGUAUAACCCGUUUUCCCCUUGAUUCUAUGCUUAAAACUUCAUUCGGGUCCUUCUUGGUCAAUUUCCCAAGUUGCAUGUUCAUUAUAUGUUGUGAUAAGGCGUUUGGCCUUUGGAUCUAUGUAAGAUUGAGCUCCAGGAGCUCAGAUCUGUUAGCUUUUUGGUCCCAUAAGGCUUGCUAGCCCUAGAUCUACCAUUUUGAGACAUUUUGAGCCUUAUAAUCCUUAUUGGUGGAUAUCCACACGUAAAGUUGGAAACUUUACGUGUGAUUCGUGUCCUAGAAGUCCAGAUCUAUGAAUGGCAUAGUCUGGAACCGAGCAAAUCGGUAUAUUUAAGGAGUGCAUGGCGACGACUCGGCGAGUCGCAUAGGUGACUCGGCGAGUCUGGUCGCGAGUCACAGAAUUGGUCCCUUCUUCAUGUGUCGAGUUGAGCCUUGAGUCACAGGGGGUGACUCGGUGAGUUGGGAGCUGAACUCACCCAUGUUAGGACUCGGCGAGUCAAUGCCCUGACUCGGCGAGUCCAAGGCAAUCUUCAUAGCUCAAGAACAGACUCGGCGAGUUGUUCAUACAACUCGGCGAGUCUUAGCAUAAAGUGUUCAUCGGAUGAAGAUGAACUCGACGAGUUGUUCAUACAACUCGGCGAGUAGGAUGAAGGUGUUGAAUGGCAGUUAGAAGGUGAACUCGUCGAGUCAUAGCCCGACUCGACGAGUAGAACCAGGGACCCAGGACAUUGGUUUGCUAGGGACUCGGCGAGUGGUGAUCCACUCGGCGAGUCGGGUCAACUGAAAGUUGACUCCAGCUUUGGCUUAGAGUUAAUCCAGGGGUAAAAUGGUCAUUUUACCUAAAGGACAGUUAGCAGUGUUUGAUUGAGUAUGUCGUGGAAAUUGCAGCCGGAGGACUCCCGGAGCAGCAGCAGUCAGUUAGUUCCCGAUCAGUUCAGCAGCUACUUUGAGGUGAGUUACCUUCCAGUAGCGGUGGGUCUAAGGCCACAAUGCCGACCCACCAGUAGGAGUUGUAUGAUAGAUGAUUGUCUUUGUGAUAUCAUCUAAGUUCGCUAGUACCUGACAUGUUAUAUGCUAGCAUGAUAUGCUGUAUGUGAUAGUAGUAGAGUUUGGUUGUUCGGACCGAAGGGUAGUCAGACACCCCAGAUACGUCUGACAGUAUGUGACGAUAUGUAUGCAUGCUGGCUUGUUAUGUUAUAUGUGAUCGUAGUAGUAGGGGUGAAAUAGUCCCCGAGGAUCGGUUGUUAGGACCGAUGGGUAGUCAGCACCCCAGAAUGGCUUGACACGGGUAAGACGGCACCCCAGAAUGGCCGUAUGGGUAGGUCNNNNNNNNNNNNNNNNNNNNNNNNNNNNNNNNNNNNNNNNNNNNNNNNNNNNNNNNNNNNNNNNNNNNNNNNNNNNNNNNNNNNNNNNNNNNNNNNNNNNNNNNNNNNNNNNNNNNNNNNNCUUCGGUUUCUUAGGAGAUUUACUGGGACUGUACUCUGAUAUUUUGAUGGGAUGUACGGUGUGGCUUUUUAGAACGUGGUUGCAAUGUUUUAUGGUGUGAACAAACAACGUUUCUUUUUGUUUAGACAAUGUUUUUAUUCAUUAAUGUUUUCUAAAGUAAUAUUUAAAAAAAAAAAAAUGAAAUUUUUGGACGUAAAAAUUGGGUCGUUACAGAGCUUGGUGCCGAACGCCAUUGGAACUUUAACCUUUGAGUCUCCCAUCAUGCCGAAUUUAGCAAGAAGAGUCUUGGUGUAUGCUUCCUGGUUGAUAAAGAUGCCUUCGGGUCCCUGUCUAAUAUUUAAACCAAGGAAAAAGUUAAUCGGACCCAUUGAGCUCAUUUCAAAUUUAGUCUCCAUCAGCUUUCUAAAUUCAGCUGUUAAGCUAGGAUUCAUUGAGCCAAAGAUGAUAUCAUCGACAUAGAUUUGAACAAUCAUAAGGUGGUUACCUUCCUUCUUACGAAAGAAGGUUGGGUCAACCGAACCUUGUUUGAAUUUUGACAUCUUUAAAAACUUGGUUAGCGUUUCAUACCAUGCCCUAGGUGCUUGUUUCAGACCGUAAACCGCUUUGUCCAGAAUAUAACAGUGAUUUGGGUACUUUUCAUUGACAAAACCAGGAGGUUGCUCCACGUAAACCGUUUCUUCAAGUUCUCCAUUCAGAAAGGCGCAUUUCACGUCCAUUUGGUAGACCUCGAAGUUCUUGUGUGCAGCAUAGGCCAGAAAUAUUCGAACAGAUUCCAGCCUUGCUACCGGAGCAAAAGUUUCCUCAUAAUCAAUUCCUUCUUCCUGGCAGUAUCCUUUCACCACGAGACGAGCUUUGUUUCGAAUCACAUUGCCUUCCUUGUCCAUUUUAUUUCUGAAUACCCAUUUGAGACCAACAACUGAGGCAUCUUUAGGAGUUGGAAUGAGGCGCCAUACCUUGUUUCUUUCGAACUCGUUGAGUUCAUCUUGCAUAGCUUGAACCCAGUCAGAAUGAUCAAGAGCAGUAUCUACUGUCUUCGGUUCAACUUUUGAUACGAAAGAAUUAUACAUGCAGAACUCUACUUUGGAGAAUAGAGAUGUUUGUUUUGCCUUCAGUUGAGAUCGGGUCAGGACCUUUUCAGAGACAUUACCCACUAUCUGAGAUACAGGACGAUCUCUGGUCCAUUUAACAAGAGGAGGGUAAUUUGGAUCAUAGGAGGGAUCCUACUUAGCAUUGACCAUUUCUUCCAAUUCAGAUUGACUAUCGUCGUCGUAGAACAUAUCGGUGUUCCCCCCCUCGACUGAUGAGCUUUUAGUUGUAGUUGGACUUUCUGGUGCUACAGGACUUUCAGGUGUUGUUGAGCUUUCGGGUGCUGAAGGUCUUUUGGGUGCUGUCGAGCUUUCGGGUGGAACUGGAAUAGAAUUCUCCCCCUCAAUUUGUGAGCUCGGUUGUUUUAAAGAAGGUGGAUUCUCCCCCUCAACUGAAGCGCCUUGCUGAGGAGGUUCAUUUGGAACUUGUUCUUCUUCACCCAUUCGUUUGGCGGCAUCUUCGACAAUUUGCUUCAGAUGGUCCACUUUGUUGUCUGCUGCCUUGGCUUCCAAGAGAGUAGCUUUCUCAGGUUCAUCGAAUAGUUCCACAAACUGAUCGAACAGAUUAGCAAUCGAGGCCGUGACUUAACCUGUUUGAGUGAAUAUCUCUCCAAUUGUUUCUUCAGUAGCUUUUAGCUUUUUGAUGUAGUUAUCAUUGAAAGUCACAUAAUAUGUUUCUUCGAUCUUCCUGGAGCGCUUAUUUAAGACCCAGUAAGCUUUGGAAGUAAGAGAAUAUCCCAGAAAAAUUCCUUCAUCAGCUUUAACGUCAAACNAGUUGAAGACAGCAUCGUGAGCCGAACACAUGGAAGAAUUUUACGUUCGACUUCCUGUUAUUGAUGAUCUCAUAAGGAGUAAGAGAGAAGCGCUUGUUGAGAUACGACCUGUUCUGUGUGAAACAUGCUGCAACAAUAGCAUCAGCCCAAAAAUAUAAUGGAAGAGAAGCAAAACUUAGCAUCGUUCGGGCCGCCUCACACAAGGAUCGGUUUCGUCUUUCCAUAAUUCCAUUCUGUUGAGGUGUGUAGGGGGCUGAGAAGUUGUGACUAGUUCCUUUUUCUGCUAAAAAGUCUUCAAAUUCUUUAUUCUUGAAUUCCAGUCCAUUGUCACUACUGAUGUUGCGAACGACUUUUCUCAGUUGCAUUUCAACCUGCUUAAUAAACAUCUUUAGCUUAGGAGUAGCCUCAGAUUUGUGCUUCAGAGAGAACACCCAUGUAAAACCUGAGAAAUCAUCAACAAUAACAAGAAUGUACUUGCUACCGCCAAUGCUUUCGAUAGAUGAUGGACCACACAAGUCAAUGUGAAGCAACUCAAGUGGUUCAACAACUUCUGUGUUUAUAAUGGAUGGGUGACUUUGACGACUUUGCUUCCCCAUUUCACAUGCAACGCACAAAUGUUCUCGAUCAAACUUGAGCAAUGGGAGACCCCGAACAUGACCUCCUAUGACAAGCUUGUUGAUGUCUUUGAAGUUGAGAUGUGAGAGUCUUCGGUGCCACAACCAGCUUUCGUCAGAAUUAGCUUUGGACAAAAGACAUAUAGCUGGAUUCCUUUGAUUGGUUUGAGAUUGAGAGGAAACAUUUCGCCUUUGCGUUCUGAUUUGAGAAUCACCCUUUUUGAUUUCUUCUCUAUGAUUUCUGAACCUUCAUCGUCAAAUGAAACCUUGAGACCGGUACCUCCCACUAGUUGAGACAUACUGAUGAGAUUAUGCUAUAGCCCUUCAACGUAUGCCACCUUUCUUAUUGUGAAGUCUCCAUUGGUUAUCAUACCAUAACCUUUUAUCGUUCCAUAGGAGUUGUUGUCGAACUUGACAUUCCCACCAUUCUGAAGAGAUCGAUACUCCCUUAGCUCUUCCUUUCUCCCUGUCAUGUGACGUGAGUAGCCACUGUCAAUAUACCAUUCUUCGUCGAACUGCUCGUCACUUAUAACCUACAAAAAUUAAGCAGAUUUAGGAACCCAAAGUUUCUUGGGUCCAUGUGAGCUUUUCACAGGAACAGGAAUAGUAAGAGAAACAUCAACAAGAUAUGUUCUUUUUAUUAAUGUUGUUUCAUCUUUUCUUUUAAUGGUAAACACUUUGAUUUUGUUAGGGUUAGCAACAGUUGGUUUGGUUUCAGGUUUUGGUGUUUGGGCCUUAGACUGCUUUCGGUCUUCCUGGACAGAGGAAAUCUUCGAUUUUCCUUUCAGGUUCGUUGACGAUUUAGAGUUUUGUACAGGAACAGAAUUGGGUUUAGAAGAUAAUUGAGAACGAGAAGAAUUAGAAUGAGAAUUUCUUCUGACUUGUGGUUCUAAAUGACCCUUUUGUUUAUGGUCAGUAGAGGGACCGAACCUGGACGUUCGGUAGCUGUUGCUUUCGGGACCGAACCUGUCAUUUCGGUACUGUUCCUCAUGUGGCCUGAAAGCCUUUUCUUCUGAAUUUGAAUCUUUAUCAUGAUAGGAGAAAUGGGCGUUUUGAGAUCGCCAAAACUACUUUCGCUCUGAGAGAUUCUUUUUGUAUCUCAGAUUCCUUUGCUGCUUUUGAUUUUUCACUUGUUUCGGCUGUCUGUGGAUGUUAGCCUUUUGUUUCAGCUUCUUGUCAGCCGGUUCACUUUUCACAGAUGAUGUUUCGCUUGUGGAACUGACUUCUUCUACAGGUAUUUCUUUUGUGCCACUUGUGCUUGGCACGUCAAAGUUGUCAGGCUUAUUCAGCGGCUCUGGUACAUAUCUUCCUUUUGUUUUCCAGGACGUUCGCUCUGACAAACCAAUUGUUUCGUCAGCAUAAUCUAUAGGAGCUGACCAGAAGAACUCAUCACAACCAUCUGCGUUAUCGUCGACAUUAAGUUCAGAUGUGUUUUCUACAUCAAUUUUAUUUUAUGAACUUAAAUUAGCAUUCAAUGAGUCGAAUUUUUGUAUGGUUUCAGUCCUUAGCUUCAAUUUAUCGUUUUCAUCCAAAAGAUUUUUCAGCAUGUCCUUAUAGUCUUUGGACUUUAUAAAAGAUUCUAUUUUGUCCAGACCAUACAUGUAAGUGGGAUUCACAUCAUCAGACGAUACAACACUUUCACAGUUGUAUGCCUCAGCAUCGAUUUCAUCCUCCUUAAACUCAAGGAAGCGUAAAAUCAUGCGAUGUAUUUUCUGCCCUAUUUCACAAUUCAUAUGCAGUUGAGUAAUGUCAGCAUAAAGUCUUUUAGCAAUCAAACAAAAAACAGUUCUUUGUUUUAAAAGUUUUAAAUUGUCUCUUUGUAAAUAAAUGUUUUCAUCCUUAGACUUAAUCAGCUCUGACUCCUUCUGCUCAAUCCACAUCCUUCGCUCCUCACUCUUGGAUGACACCCUGCUUAUUUGGUCAGUUAGGUUAGAAUUGGUGACCCGUGUUUGAGUUAAAUAACUAUCCAGAUUUGAGAUUCUUGAAUUUAAGUUAUUUAAUUCCUUUUCAUAUGAUUUAUGUGGAACUUUGAACGAGAUAACGAUAGAUUGUACCUUCUUGAUCAAUUCGUCAAGUUCAUUGAUCUGCACACUGAUAGGUUUUGCUGUGAAGCAUAGGUCCUCUCGCUCCUUGGUGUCCUCAUUUCAACCAUCUAUAUUUUAUCCCUUCAUGUGAGAUACGUCAGUCACCAUCAAACACUUUCCGCCACUUUCACCACCUCUUGCCACAUACGCCUUUCCAUGCGAAGGCUUUCUCACCUCAUCGUCUUCUGAGUCGGUUGACCACACCUGCAUGCCACCGAACUCGUCAUCCUCUGCCGAACCCUGUACAAUAAGAGCAUUCAUAGAAGGGUUAGUAGCAGCUUUCUUCCUCUUGAUCUCUUCCAGCUUUUUCAUCAAGACAGCCUCUUCAUCUUUCUCCUCAUCCUUCUCUGCCAUUUUCUUCAGAACACAAUCUUUGGCAUAAUGGUUCUUUCCUCCACAAUAGUAGCAGUUGACACCAGAAUCUCCUUCAACCUUCGCCUCUUUCUUUGGUUCCUUAGUCUUCGACUCCUCCCUUACCUUUUCUAAACUGUAGCUUCCCUGCCAAUUUUGGUUUUUAUUGGCAGGAAACCUCUGCUUGAUGAACCUUUUUGGAUUGGACACCAUCAUAGCAUAAUCUUCUGAGGUAAGAUCGUAGUCCUCCAGGUUUAGAUCUUCAUCUUCUACUACAUUCUUGCUUUUGGACAGGAGGGCCAAGGACCCCAAACUUGAGACCACAUUCUUCUCUUGCAUCACAAUCUUUUCUUGGGAUUUCAGAAUCCCCACCAGUUUAGCCAAUAAAUAUGACUUGAACUGCUCAUGAGCUUUAACUGUGGACACAACAACUCUCCAUUCAGAUCGUAAGCCAUUCAAAAAAGUGACCUUCUGUGCGAUCAGCUUCCUUUCGAUAUCAUGUUUGAUCAUUUUGCUAAGAAGAUGAUUGAAGCAAUCAAUCGUCUGUGUGACGGUCUCAUCAGAAUUUUGCUUGAAUUCUCCAAAUCUUCAUCUGUGGAAUACAGCUCUCGCAACCUAUCCCAGAUUUCUUUAGCGGUACUGCAGGAACUCACCAACCUAAACGUGUCAGAUUGAAGAGCAAAUCGGNAGCAAAUCGGUCAGUCUCAAUGCUUUGAUGUUGCACUGAAACUUGUCCUUUUCGUCUUGAGCAACAUCUUUUACAUCUUUUAACAGAUCAUUAUAUUCUUUCUGAGUUUUAAUGAUCUUGGGUGUUCUUGAGUGAGCAAAUGGUCCAGACACAAUGGCUUCCCAAAUGAGAUACCCAGUAUCUUCAGAUCUGAUAACAUAGUCUUCAAAAUGAUGAGCCCAAACUUCGUAAUCCUGGGUGUAUUGAAUAGGAAUCUUCGUCAUUGAUCCAAUAUUGUUUGAGAUGUUGAUAGGAUUAGAUUAAGAAUCGUCCAUGCUUGAUCGUUUAACCUGUUUGAAAGAUCAGACUUGUAAUAUGUAAUAUUAGGGCAAAAGAAUAAAUACUGAGAUACGUCAAUUAUGGAGUGACGGCUCAAUAAAUAUCAGUUAAUGCGGAAUAACCCUAAUCACUUCUUUCACAGAAGAGAUGUGUAUGAAUUACACAGCCUCCUGCUCUGAUACCAAUUGAUGAGUUUAUAAAACUCUUUGAUCGAUUAGAUCUUUAUAACUGGCAAACAAGUAAAGUAAAAACAGUGAAAUAAAAACACAAGUAUGGAUCUGAAUGAGUCGAAUGAUUAAAAUCAAUCCUCAACAGAGCUCGAUGAAGAACUUCCGCUGUAGAGGAUUCUAGGGUUACAACAGAUAAGAACAUAAACGCUAUUAAAACUCUAUCAAAUCUUUUCUUAUUUCCCUAUAAAGAAUGCAUGCAAGUAUCUAUAUAUAAUAACCGUACAAAUAACUCACAGAUGGACAGGCCCAUACCAGAGACAAAACUAGACUAGCUAACGAGCCCAAAGACGCAACACUAAACUGGACCUAACACUUAUAUUCAUAGUCGUUGUUAUGAAUCUAUAAAUAAGAUUUAUUAGUAGUUCCAUGUCAUAAUACUGAUUGAUCUACUUAUAUGAGUGAUGUCCAUGCUAGAUCUAGUGAGAUGUUUAAAGUGUGAUUUCCAAAUAGUAUACUCUAGUUACCAAAUGGACCCUACCUCUGAUAUGAUCUUACAUGGUUAUUACUUACUUGAUAGAUUUUGAUGUAGACACUGGGAUUAGUGAGGAAUCUAGACUGUCAUUAAUCGCAAGGAAUAUAAGACUAACACUUAGUGAUAUUUGUACCUAGGUCAUAUCAAAGGAAAAACUAAGGUGUUAAGCUAAGCUCCGGCCAAAUCAAAAGUCAUCCACUUUAACAAGUGAGUACAUAUUUACUUUCAUCUUACACACAAAUAUGAAGUAUUUAGAUAAUUAACUGUUCUAUGUGCUUAUUAUAUGUUAUGAAGAUAUUAUAUGUUAGAUGAAUAAAUAGGAGAUGAUUUUUAUUUAACCAUAUUUGUAUUUUUGUACUUAUAAUAUAUUGGCUAGUGAAGGGUGAUGGGAGAUGAAAAUAAUGAUGAGUGGACAUGAUUUUUACAGUACUAUUAUAAUAGUGAUGUAGGAUAUUGUAGGGUAUUGAGGACAACCACAAACUAUUCUAGACAAGUCUAGUGAAAUGUGGAUAGGCUUGCAACCUGUAGGUGUUUAUAAGCCACACAUUGGAAAGUUGACAACAUGUAGGUGUUAAUUAACCAUACAUAGGCAAGUAUUCGACCUAGGAUCAGGGAGGGAGAAUAAUGAGAAUAAAGAGAACAAUGAGAAAGGGUAAUCAGGUUAUUUGUCAACUCAAAGAUCCUUUAGGAUAGGUCAUCAUCCUAGGAUUAGAGAGUGAGAAUAACUAAAAUGGGUUAUUUUUUGAUGCAUAAUAUAUAAUUAAAAUAAACUAAUUAUAUUAUUUUGGGUUGGAAACACUAUAUGGCUCACCAAGCUCCCAAGUCUGACCCACUCAGUUUCUUUGUAUCAUAGGUAGCGAUGUUUGGAUCUGAUGAGAGAUUCGAUGAGAUAUAGGUCAUUAGUAUAAUAAGAUGUUGUAAGACAUGUUAUGACAAGUUUGUGCUUAUGCUUUGUAUCAGUUAUGACAUUCCAAAUCAUUUUAUAAACCGUUUGUUCAGAAAUGCCUUGAUUAAAAUAAUGUUUUGGGAAAAAAUUCUUCAAUAAAAAAUACUCUGAAUAAAACAAAACAUGAUUUUUUUAAUUGGCCGUAAAAUUGGAGAUGUCCCAAAAAAACCCAAUCACUUGAAAAUAUUCAACUGCAAAAACUAGCUCACUCUCUCCCAAAGGUACUAUCACACUCAUCACCUGGAAAAAAUCUAGAAGUUGUGAUUACAAACAACUCUAGCUAUAUAUUUCAAAACCGGGAAUACAUUAGCCUAAAACUUUAGAAACCAUACCUCAUGACUAAUUAUCGUCCAUCUAUCGGACCUACCCAUAGUCCCUGUCUAGGGACGCCACUACACCAUGCAUAACAAAACACCCAAAACAUCCCGAUCGUGAAUUUCAAUCAAUCCCGAAUCUAGAAAAUAUGCCCAAAAGACAUUGAUUACACACUUGACUUCGUGACAAAUCAUUACUAUCCCACCACUCCCAUGAGCGUAACAGUGGUCAACCCAAAAUGUCAUGUAGCAUCCAUACUCCCAAACAUUCAGGUAAACCACCUCCUGAUAAAUCAUCCAAGAUUCUUACAAUGAACUCCAUCACUGGUAACUUCACAUGCUCGAAACAGUUCUCAAAUUGGACCAGGAUCUACUAAGGAGAAAAUCAAAAAAGAAUUGUUGCUAUACGACCAUGAAUUUUCCAAUAAAUCCACCUCCUACUAAAGUCUAACCCAUACCUUAAUAGGGUGCAAAGUUCUCCUUGUAUGUGGAGUGUAGGCUUACCCUCUUGUAUUGUGUAAUGAGUUGUUUUUCCUAUAAAUGGGAAGCGAUUGACACUCAUUUAUGAAAUGAACUUCGAAGACAUUAGAUUAGUGAGAGAGUUUUUACAUUACCCACUUUGUAAUACUCACUUGAUCUAAUGAGAGCUUAACUGGGUUAUUUUCUCCUCGCAUUUUUGAUGUUUGUAUGAUUCACUGGAUCUUUUCAAUUCCACACAUGUCAUCAUAAUUAGGAUCACUACAAUUGGCAUCAGAGUGUGUGUUCUUGAAUCUUUCAAGAAUUGAUCCAUGAUGAAAACAUGAUUUUAGUGAAUCUUCAUUGUCGUGGGUUCUUCAUUUUUAAGAAAGUUGAUGUUCUAAAAAUCGAAUUUAUCUUGAUUUGAUAGAAAAUAUGAGUUUCUCUCUCUAGAAUACUUGUUUGUUUCACGUUCUCUCUCUAGAGAUUUUAUUCAUAUUCACUUUCUUUCUCUAGAAACUUUUCAAAUUCUUGUGAUCAUGGUGUAUUUGGCUUAUGAUUCUUGGAUCUUGAUGAUUGAAGAUGUCAAAUACAAAGCUAACAAGAAACAAUUUUAUGGGUUUUUGUUGAAAGGAGGGUUGAUUUCAUGGGAAACUUUGAUUUCUUAUGGAAUCUUGAAAGAUGAUUAUGGAAUAUUGAUAUUUCAACCACUUUCGAAGAUUAGAUGUUUGCUUGAAAUCACCAUGAUUAUCUUAUCUUGGUGUGAAAAUUAAAAGGAAGGAAAAGAAAGAGAAUUACAAGAAGGAAUAUGUUUCUCUUAUGGAAGACUCAAAUGAUCUUCAUGUUCUUAAGUUUGUUGAAUUUCAAGAAAUGGGAAUUCAAUGUGAUUUUGAUGAAGAUGUGAAAGUUUUUCAUUCAAUUGGAGUUCAAACCAAUGAACGCUUGAAUUCUUGUGAUUCGUUUGAAGGAAUGGUGCCUUAUAGAAAGCCUUCAAUCCAAUACAUUCAAAUGUAUCAAACUCCAAUAGAUUUGAUUCAAACUUGUAAAGUUGAAGUUGUCAAGAAUGAAGAUGUUCUUGAAUUCAAAACUUCAAGAUCCAAAAACAUGAGAAAGAAACAGAAGAAGAACAACAAAAGCAAGAACAAAUGAGUUUCUUCACAAAAAUCUUCAAAAGUUGUUAUGAAUUAGAAAUCUAUGAAGCAAAUUUGGGUUCCAAAGCAACACUCAUCAAAUGUUGCAAUGAAUUUGAAUUCAAAACCCAAAAGUGUAGAUGAUUCAUAUGAAGAUGAUGCUAGAUCGUUGAAGAACACGAAGAACGGUUUGUACAAUACACAUCGUGGGUGGUAUAAUGUGAAGAUUGGAAACUUUCUUGUUCCAACAAAAGAACCAAGAUCUUCAAUGAUUAAUUCGUGUUUUGAAAAUGGAAAAAAUAAUCAAGAAGGUAUCUCAAUUCCUCAAAUGGAUUCCUAAACGUUCUUGAUUUUUGAUGAUCUGAUGAAGAACGAUCCAGGUUUUAUUGAAAUUCAAUCUUAAAUUCAAUUUGUGAUUUUCAUUUUUGAUUGUUGAUUGUUUUGUUUCAUUGGAUCUAAUUUGUUUCAAACGCCAUUAGUGAUCUAAUUAUUUUUUGUUUAGAUCAAACCCCCAAAAUCAAAAUCAUAUUCUCACCUUUUUUUCUUUUGAAAUCCAUUUUUUAGACCAAUUAGAACAUUUUCAUACCUUGAGCCCAAAUUAUAAUUUGCUUACUGUUCAAAAUCGAGCAUAAUAAGUCCUAAGCUGGUUAUAGUUCAUCAAUUUCUUGUCAUAUACCUAUGUUAAUUCUCAACAUCAAUACUCAAAUCGAGCGAAACAAUUAACUCGUUUGCAUCGAGAAGAGUCCGACUACUAGUUCGUAUCAAAAAUUGACUUGAAUUGAACAUGUAUUGGGAUCGAUUUCAAAUUUUGUUAAUAUUUUUGAAGUCGAUUUCGAAAAAAAUGGGUUAAUGGUCGAGUGUGUUUGAGGUUGAAUUGACAUCGAAAAUGGAUGUUUGAUUGCUUGUGUCAAACAAUUCGACAUGCGAUGAUUUCUUUCGAUUGUUCUCAUCGUCUAUGUUUGUGUGAUUCUGUUUGGUCAUAAGAGUUGACAUCGAGGGCGAAUAGUGUACAGAUGGAGUAUUGAGUUCGAACCGUGUUGGAGUCAAAGUCAAUUGAUACUGGAAAUUGAGUUAAUCAUUGGAGUCAAAAGCCUAUGAUUGGCCUUACUAGUGUCGAAAUUAGUUUUGAUUUUGGAGUUGAAUGUCUUGGGACAAACGACUUCACUGAAGAUGAACUCUUAUUGGACUGAUUCAUCGCACAAAAUUCAUUGGAAUGGUGAAAUCAAAUUCAACUUAUGUUCCUUUUGUUUUUAUUGUGAUUUUGAAUGUGAUGGUGAGUCCACAUUGAACGUGUAUAUUAGAAUCAAAAUGCUUAAUGUUGAAUUAUAUGGAGUAUUGGAAUUCGAUGUGUAUGUUGGAAGACUUCGAUGUGUAGGAAGAACUUGGAUUUUGAUAGCAAAAAGUUGAAUGUUGAUAUCGAACAAGGAUUCACUAUGGGUUAAUUGCUUGGGGUGUCGAACAGAUUUCAAAAGGACUGUGAUUUUGAUGUGUGGAUUGAAAAAUUCGACAUGUAAAAAUUGAAAAUUGUUUUCGACCUCGCGGUAAUGAAGUCUUACAGUUGGUGAAAGUCUCGUAAUCACAGUUAAGGAGUAUAGUAACAAAUGGCUGAUUUCGAUGGAUCGGUUUGAUGUUGUUUGGAGUAGAAAUUACGUUUGACUAUGAUGAUGUUUCAUGGUGUCGAAAUCAAAUUUGACUGAUUUCGAAGGCGAUCGUUGCUAACUACAAGUCAAACGUGUUGAGUUUGAAUCAUAAUUGAAUGUGUUUGAUGGAUUGUGACAUCCCCAAAAUGACGUCCAGAAAAGACCGGUUUGUUUAUGCUUUGUUUAAAAAUCAGAGUAACAUUUUAAAUAAAAGUGUUGCGGUUUUGUCCCAAAACAAAAUAUGAUAAAGAUUUAUCAAAAGCAUUUCCAUACAAAUGUAUUUCAUUAAAAGACUUGGGAUGUCAUGUUCGUACAGAUCAAAAGCAUAAACAGUACAAUAUAAGCGUUACUACAUUAUUUCAUAACUACAGGCCUAUAUCCGAUUAAUCUCUCAUCCCAAGACAUCACAUCUAUGCUCAUGCGCCACUACCUGUAAUACAAGAAACUGAGUGGGUCGGGCUUGGGAGCCUGGUGAGCACAUAGGGUAUUCAACCCACAAUAAAUAAGUUUAUUAACUUCAUUAAAUUAAACAAACCCGAUUACCUGUUCCCGUUAUCCUCACAUUACGUCCCUAAGCAUCUAUCAUAAGGGACCUACCCUAAGGAUUAUCAUCGGGACGGACACUACUGCUAAGGGGAUUCCUCAGCAAUAAAUGUCCUUGAGGCAACCAUGUGGGGGAUGGAGUACAUCUGGUGAGCACACAGUUCAAAUAAACACACAGUUCGAAUAAACACCUACAGGUUGCGAGCCUGCUAGUGUUCCACUGGACUGUCUAGAAUAGUCCGUGGUCGUCAUCUAUACUCCGCUAGAUGACUGAUUCAUCAAUAACAUCUAUAACGAGGCCUCUCAUUAUUUUAUUUCGUCACACAACAACUAUUACAUCUACCCAUGUUUUACCCAACACAUUUUGUAGAUAUAAAAUACAUAUACAGUUUAAAUCAUUGAAAACAUGUAUAACAAUGUUCAUCCAGCAUAGAUAGCAAGUAUUCAGAUAAUAUGCACACAUAGCACGUAAUUUAUAUAAAAUACUUCAUAUCUAUGUGUAAGCUGAAAGUAACUAUGCACUCACCUGAGUAGGUGGUGACUCGGCGCUUGGACAGCACUUCGUUACUCUUAACACACUUUUCCUUUGGCAAAACCUAGUAUCAUUGCCACUAGGGUUUAGUCUAACGAUAACCGCGAUUAAUUAAUAGUCUAGCUAUUAUUAUUAUUAUAUAAGCGUUAAACGAUACUUAUAUAACCCAUAAUAAUAGCCCAAGUACUUAUUAUAAGGUCCUAAUAACAUUACUAUAUUAAAACGUAAGCUAAACUAAAGAUAGGUUAGGCGUAGCUCACUUACAGCGAGUUUUCUCGAAAACCGGGCUUCGCUGGAGCAGCAUUCCCAAGUCGAAAGACCCCUUUUCUCGGGACUCCGAGAGCCUCGGGGCUUCCUUCGGGUGCUAGGGGGUUUUCCUAGACUUUAGACUGCUAAAUGAUCGCGAAGAAUUCAUAACUCCUUCAUACGGACUCCGUUUUUGUCUGUCUUUUUAUAGUUGAAUUCCUAUUAAUGAGAUCUUCAACUCUCAUUUAGGUCGCGUAAGCCAAAAACUGCUCGAACUAAAAUUCGAAUUUCAGGCUGUACACCGCUAAUCCGAAACUUCGAAAAAUCAUAACUUCUUCAUACGAAGUCAGAUUUGGGAGUUCUUUUUAUCGAUGUUCUUAGUUUAACAUACUCUACGCUUUUCCUUUAUAUCAUUAAGGCUAAAACUCGCUCUAUCGUAAAUUCACUAUUUACGCUUCCCGGUGCCGUGUCGGUUUUGCCGUAAAUCUUCGACGGGCCAUAACUUCUUCGUUAUAACUCGGAUUUCGGCGUUCUUUAUAUGUAAGGAAACCUUGAGACAUAUUCUACAACUUUAUGUAGAGAUAUCGGGAUUAUCUCACACUUUAAUUUUGACGUUUAUUUUUGUUCUUUAUUAAUUAUACAUUUAUAAUUAAAUUAUAAGCACAUAAAUACACAUAAUUCACAUAAUACUCAAAUAUUUCAUCUUUAUUACUUCAAAAAGAGUUACAAUAGUUGAACUAGACUAUUACAUUGACAAAAAUGCUUAGCCCUGAAACCUGAGCGUUACAUGGAUUCAACAACAAAUUCCACUAGUACAUUGAAGGCUUGGUGAAAUCAAUUUUGAUGUGUAGGGUGUUGGUAUAUGUAGUUUUGAGUCGAACAUAAAAAUUUUGGAAUCGAACAAGCAAGGCUUCGGGUGGAACUCAUGUUUGAUAGGUAAUGUGAAUUUUACUUACGAAGAAGCCUUGCUUGCUUGAUUUGACAAGUUUAUUCCUCGAACGCUUCUUAUCCUUUGUGGGUUUUAUAACUACUUGCUGAUUAUAAAAGGCGGAGAAUGAAGAAAUGGUAUUGAAAGCUUCUUGGGUAUUCAUUUGCGGAUUUGAAGACAUGUGUUACUUCGAGGGUGAGUUGGUCUUGAUUGCGCGAGCUUUUUUGGAAAAUGAAGCCGGGACAUCCAUGAUGGGUUAUGAGCACUACAUUAAUUCUAUGGUGUACAUGCAAACCCUAAAGCUUUGGAUCUAGUUUGUCUAAUGAACAUGCAAUAAUCAUCCAAAGCUCAUAAACCCUAGAUCUAGCAUAUAAUAAUCGAUAUUAUCAUAAUAAAAGGGUUUAGAUAUUACCUUGAUUGUUAUGUAGUAAUAACAAUCUCAAUUCCUCUUGAUCUUGACCUUUGAAAGCUUAGUGCCAUAAAUUUUGCACCUCUAAUGGAGUCACAAACACCAUGAGCAACAAGAUGACUUAGGAGAAGGAGGAGGAGGCUCCAAAAACGUCUAGGGUUCUUUUAUACUUGUGUGGGUUGCUAGGGUUUAAGGUGAAACCCUAAUUCUCUACAUAGGCCUUAAGCAACCCAUGGAGUUCCCCUAGAAAUCCCUUGGAUGAAAUCCAUAUGGGCUUCCCAUAGAUUUCGUCCAAACCCCUUUCUAUUAGGAAUCCAUAGCCCAAUUGCAACUAUCAUAUAAUUGCAAUAUCAGUCCGCUUUAUUUAAUUAAUCUCUUUUAGCCACAAAAUUAAAUAUUAUUAAUUCUUGGCUAAUAUUAAUUAAACAAUAUGAUUUCUCUUUUAAUAUAUUAUUCAUAUAAUAUAUUUGUUGGAUUAAUGUCUAAGUCCAUAACUAUAUUUGGUAUGUACUUGACCCGACCCGGCAUGGUCCAUUUGGGUUACACUUCACCGGCACAAUUUAUAUGGAUAGUCUUUUGAUAAUAGAAUAUUUAUGGCUUAUAUUAAUAUAUUAUAAGUUCUAAUAUAUUAAUAUAUAAUCAUAUUAUUUAAUUAGUAUUGAUCAAGAAUUAAUUUAUAAUUAAUUAAGUGAUCAAAAUGAACUAAUUAAAUAUGGACUCUUAUAUAUAUAUAUGGAAUGGGCCAAGUUCAUUUAGGUUGGGCUAAGCUUUCAUGGAUAGUCCAUGGAGUGUUUAACCCAUGGAUCAUAUGAAAUGAAAGGUCAUGGGUUUAACCCUAGUCUCCAUACUAUAUAAAGAUGUCCUUGGUUGGUGAAAUUGGCACUAGUGUGGGUACACUAAGANGGGUACACUAAGAAGGGCUAGCCGAUUUCACUAGAGAGAACCAAGUAUCCAUAUUCUCAAAAGUCUUCCAUGGUGUUUUGGUGAUUUGAGAUUCCAUUUUAGGCUUCCACACUAUUGGGGCUAAGCUCUUAAAGCUUGAAGACAUCAAGCUACAUCAAAGGUAUGUCAUCUAACUAGAACUUUGUAGUAUAAGAACUUCAUAAUAUGCUAGUUAGGAUUAAAUCCUUGGAAAGUUCUUAUUUGCAUGUAUAAUAGAGAAAACAUAGAUACAAGGUUUAUAGGGUUGCAUGUACACCAUAGGAAUGUUAGAAUGCUCAAAACCCAACAAUGGUAUCAGAGCCUAGGCUUGUUUUCUUGUUAUACUUGCAAAAGUAGCUGAAAAAUCAAGUUUUGAUGUUGUCUGCCCAACAGACUCGCCGAGUCCAAGGCAAAAUGCAUCCAACUCGCCGAGUUGGUUCGUGCACUCGACGAGUUGGAGCCCCAGACAGCAUAUAUUCGACUUUUUUUUUGGCUAGAAAUGGACUAGGAACAUUACCCUAACAUGUUUUUGGACUUAUAAACAUAUUUUUUGAUGUGGUAAUGUUCAUACUAAUCCAAUUUCAAACACAAUUAUCAAUAGAUUCAUGUUUUGUAUUAGUUUAAGUGUUAUGCUAAUUACAUGAGAAAAGUUUGAUUGAAUUAUCUUGAUCAUAUGAGUUGCUUAGAUUAAUAGAUAAGUUAAUUGAAUAGUUGUUUUCAAUCCAUUUUAAUCUAAGAGAUGAUUCUAAAAUGUGUUUGUGUAACUUGUCCUCAAGUUACAUGAAAGGUCACAUUUAAGUUUCAUAAAACUCAUAAAAGUUGGCAUUGGUUACAAAAAUGAAGAGUGUUGUCUCAUUGAAUGGUUUUAUAACUCCAUAACGUGUCCUCAAGUUAUGGAAGUUCAAGAGUCACUUCAUUAAGUAAUAAAAUGUGUAAACUUAAUAAAUUACAUAAGUUAUAAAAUAAAGAAAAGGUAAUUCUUUUAUUAGUUUAAAGUCUUCCAUAACUUGUCCUCAAGUUAUGGAACUUGAAGAGUUUUUGGAUUAUAACUACUUUAAACACAUAAGUUAUGGAAUAAGAAAAGUUUUGAAAGUUACAAAACUUGCCCUCAAGUUUUGGAAUUUGAAAAGUUUUCUCUUAUGAAUACUUUAAUUCCAAGUUAGCCCUUAGAAUUUUAAAAGUUAAAAUUCAACCCUUAUACUUUAUAAUAUUAUAAGUUAAUAAUAUAUAUAUGUAUAAGAGUAAAGUCAGUCUUACCGCUAGUACGCCUCAUUCACGAAGCCGGUCUAUAAGGUGGGUAUAAGGUUGUUGCCUAUAAAAUGGCAACUUAAUGGGUGUCCACUCUCACCCACCGCUUGCUUGACUGGUGGAGGGUCGUUAGCCGAACGGGUUUGACAGGACUAGAAUUCUCCCUUCAUUAAAAGUAUUAAUGAUAAUACUAAGUAACUAAACUCUUAAUAAUACCCAAUCUUAGUUACUUAGGAAAAAUGUGAAUAAGGUGCUAAUCCAUGAAAUUACACUUUACACUUUGUCUAAGUCGUUAGUGGAGCGUGUGUGGUUAACCGGCACACUAACUUGGACUUAACAAGGUAGGUAAAGGGUGACUUAAUAUUUAUCAUAGUAUCGAUGGAGCGUGUGUGGUUAACCGGCACAUCGAUUGAGGGGUAAUUUAUUAAGGGUACCAAGUGAUUUGCAUGGUUACUUCACACCUUGUUUUGUGAUCCUCGGCAUCCCAGUCACAAAACCUGAAGGGCACACUCGAGAUUGAAACAUGCCUUUGAAAAGUUCAAUGAAUCUCAAAGAUCUAGGAGUUUCAAAACCAAUUAAAACCUAAUAAUACAUUUCGUUUAUCUUGGUGGAAAUUGGUGAAUCGUCAUUCACCUACCUUCAAAUAUUUUAUAGCUUGGAUUACGGCAUACCUCUUCUAAGUUAUAAAAUAGUUUGUUGGGUCCUAGCCUUAAUAUUUCAUAUUGGGUGUCAUAUUAAGGACUUUAAAUCAACUAUCUUGAAUAUCUCCCAAAAGAUGUCUGGUUUAGACACCUAUGAUCUUCCCAAAUCUCUUGAAACAAGGUUUCCUAAUGAAGAUGAUGUCCCAUGGAUAUCAUACUUCUUCACCUCUUCAAAUUAUUCUCCCUAACCCACAAGUUCUUGAAAAGUUUAAGGUCACUCAGGCCCUUUUGGCAAGGCAAGGUCUAGGUGUGGUCACAUCUUGGAGAUGUAGUCACAUAUUGACAAGCCGGGAGAGUUGGGUGUCAAAGUCUUGAGAAAGUUGGUGGUUCAACUACUUUCUAAGUCACAUAGUGAGUUCUUUUGGAACACCUAUGAAAAAGACUAUGACAAGACCCUUAAUGAUCUUAUCUAUUUGUUAAGAUCAACUUCCUAAAACUUUAUGGACAUUGACAAUGAUGACAUUGGAUAUCCAGUAAAGCAUUCUCUUCCCAAUGGAAAGGGAUCGGCUAUAGUCAACUCGGUUGACCAAAUGGUAAAGAGAAAAGCUAAGUCUGUGAUAGUCCUGUGUACCAUUAUCAAAGGGUCCAUAUGUUUGUAUUGCCAAAGAAAGGGCAUUGGUUGCGAAGCUGCCAAAUUUACCUAAGGAUGUUAAAGUCAAUAAGUUUGACUCUACUUCAGGUAAAAUCCACUAUCUAACUCUGUUAAGUUUCUAUUCUGAGAUUCUUGAUACAUGAUGUGACCGGGUCGCAUGGUGAUGGUUUAAGAAUCAAAGGAAAGUGAAGAAACUUAAAGGAAGAAUAUGCUGAAUCUGAUCGCAUAGAUGGAUUUCUAUCGCAUAGUUUGAAAAAUCGGAUUCUUGAGCUACUUCUUAGGAGUUAUGAGAUAUUGCUUAGGAAUAGAUAACAACAAGUUUUCAUAUGGAUUGUAAGGAUAGUUUUUCCGCAAAGUUUUAAAAUAAAAGGAAAUUUUUGAUUUUAUUUAUUUUAAAAUAUCCUUACAAUGGCAUCUGUGGAAAUUUUUGUUGCUUAUAAGAUUCCAUUAGUAGCAAGAGUGGAAGUAUGAAAUUGAUUCUUUCAUUUGUGGUAAUGUCUAAAUUUACCAAAUAAGGAAAGAUUCUCAUCACCCAAGUUUCAAUUGGACCGGAACUUGGAAUCAUGCAAGUUGUAUAGCAUGAUGAAUGAGAACUUUCAAGUUUUGGAAAAUUAAGACUAAUUACUUGUUCACAUGGAUGUGUGAGUCAAGUAAAGGACUUAGGGAUCGAGUACACAUUCUUGUGCACUGAUUAAGUCCACCACUAAAGAUCGAUAAGAAGAAUCAAAUAAGGCAGAAGGAUAAAAGUUUCUCAAAUCUGAAAAGAUGGGAGAGUACUUUAGUAUCAGUUUUGUGAUCAUCUUAAUGAUUAAGAAACCAUAUCAAAAUUAGUUCUCUAAGGAAAUCUUAGUGCAUUCUUAUGACUAAGAAGAGGAACUUGAAUUGUUGAAAUGGUUAAAUCAAGAAGAUGAGUCAUACUUCGUUCCAAUACAAGUCUUAGAGUCAUACUCCAAGAUUGUCAUUUGAGUGACAUGUCUUAAAGAAGGUUUAAAACACUUGUCAAAUGUAAGAGUAAAAGUUUUCUACUCUUGUACAUUUGAAAUUGGUAAGUUGUGAUGUUUUGGAUAAAACAAAGACCAACUUAGGCCAAUUGGGUAAAGUGUUUUUCUUGAUUAGAAUCCGCACUAUCUCUUGGAUGUUUGACAAGGGAGUCUUAUAUGUCAAGAGGACAGUGGGAGUCUUAAAGGUCUUGAAAGUCUCAAGAAAUAAUCAAGAAUAAAACCUGAAGUUCUUCACUAGCACACGACUUGAGGUUUAUAACCUAUCGUGUUGACAUAUCUGUGCCCAUUCCAGUUAAAGUUGGCUUUGCAUAUGAGUUCUUAGAGUUCUCAAUUUGUUGCACAACAACUUGGAAGCAAUGGCAGGCCCUUGAGCUGCCAGGUGGCAAGAAAUUAAGAUUGAGUUCAGUCCAUAUGAGUUUGGAUUUGUCAUUAUCCUUGUCUUGUGACUAUGGUUUUGACAAUUCACAUGGAUAAGAACACAUACACCAUUAAAUCUAAGUGUCAUAAGGUUUCUCUCCGAUUCAUGAAAAUGAUGGUGAGGAAACACUUUCACUAAGUAGAUUUUAGCUAGAUAGCAAUUGUGAUAUUUGCAUUCUCAAAGUCGUUAGUGGAGCGCGUGUGGUUAACCGGCACACUAACCUGGACUUGUGAGAAGUGGCAAAAAGGUCUAAACAUUAUGAUUACGGCAUCCCUCUUCAUAAUUGUUUAGAUACACAAGUGUGCUAUCUAAGGGAAGGUGUAUGAUUUUGAUAAAGUUUUAUCAAAACAAUCUAGUAUCAGAAAUCUGAACUUUGGUAAGAAAGUCAAUGAAGUAUUGAUUUCUAGAAGUCCAGCUGAUUUCUGAGUACAUGUCAAAGCUAGUGGGAGCAUAAGUGUUAUGCUAAUAAUCAUCAUGUUAGUGGGAGCAUGAUAAUUAUGAUAAGUAUUGCAAGUUAGCAAUGUUAAUUAUAGAAAACAAAAGUUUCAAUUGGGAAAAAGUUGUUUUGCUAUAAUUAAGGGAGAGGAAAUUAUACUUCAUCUCAAAUCUAUAAGCUUAGAUCGUGAGGUUUUAAUCAUUUAGUCAAGGAUAUAUAUGAAUUUCAUGUUGGAAUGGCUCAACAUAAGGAAAUUCUGUAUAUGGGUCCAUUAUUUGCGUUCUAAAAUUCGAUUAUGAUUACGGCAUCCCUUUUCAUAAUCUGAAUUAUGAGAACUUGGCAAAUUGAAAUGGAAAUAUUAUAGCAAAAGACUGGUUUAGUCUUUAUGUGAGACAUCAUGAAUCGUGUCCCAUAUGCUUCGGAUAUAGGAUCGAUUACAUGUGCUAUAUUCAUCCGUUCUAAAAUUUUCCAAAUGCCUGGGGCAUUAAGAAGGGAAAAGGUUUAGAACUGGAUAUGACUAAAAGGAUUAAACAAUUGUCGAGGACAAUCUAAGGUUUACCAAAGAUUGGUUGCUCAAGGACAGUUGGAAGUAUAGUGAUAAUUCUGGAAGGACCAUAUUGACAUAAUCUGUAAGGAGGCAACUCUUGUUCAGAAGUGAUAGUCAAAAUGGAAUCUGGAAAUGUUUCAAAGUUAGAAUUUUCAAUCUGUUUAAGAUUAGGAAACUUAAUGCAAGAAGGAUGUUUCCAAGGAGCUGAUCUCCUUUGGAAUACUCUGUAAUGAUUGUUGUCAAGUCUUUCUGACUUUGUGCAUAAUCAUUACAAGAGGAUCAAUGCAUAUAAGUUUAGAAUCUAACAGAUUUCAGUAAAUGGCAUGAAUUUGGAAUUCUUGCAUUUGCAGUAAGGAUUUGGGAGUGUGAAAAGAGAAUCAUUGAAGUUAUGUUCAAUUGAUCUAGUUCACAAAGUAAAGAUCAUAGACAAACAUAGUAUGCAUACUUGGUGUGUGGCAUGACUAGUGUUUAAGAAAACAUAGUGUACAUGCUUGGAGCAUGGGACAACUAUUGUUUUAAAUUCAAGAAUAAAGUUGAUAGCUGAAACAGUAUACAAUGAAUAAUGUGUAAUCAUAUGGUGAUAAAUAAAAGGUGUUUUAUUUAUGUUCAUAAGUUUUGAUACCAUAUUGGAUUCAAUUAUUAUUGUGUUUCACUUUGCAUGUUUUGACUUCCCGAAUAAACUAGGUUAUUCUUCCGGAAUGACUAAGUUAUUCAAACCAUCCACAGUCGGUCAUAUGUUGGAAGUAGAUAUGAAUUAAGACUGUCAUGGGUUGGCUUGUAGAGGUCUAAGGUGUUGGACAAAGGGCUACAACACUCAUGAGUGCUCAUAAGUUCUGAGUAUUGGAUUCAACCCGCGCUCAUUGGAAUCACUUCAUGGAUUUUAUCACGAGUGAUCAUGAGACGAUAAUAUCUUAUAUUCUUCAAACCUAGAGAUAUGAGUUGUUACUAUGAGUUGGUUGUACAUUGAUUGCACGAAAACGCAUUUGGUAACUCGGUGCUAUAAAACGUGCCUUUGUGUAUGAUUCAACAAGUAGUAGAACAAGCCAUAUGAGUCGAAGUUUAUCCAUUCCUUUUACCUUCGGGAUAAAAGCGAUAUCUGUGGGCCCCUCGAUGAUUUGAUGAUGACAAAUGGAAGUGCUCGGCCGGGCCAGGACUGAUUUGAUUUGUUCAAUUAGUCAGUCGUCAUAAAUCGGAAAUCGGGAAACAACAAAUGGACAGAGAGAAUGAUUAUAAUCCAUGUCUCAGUCCAUAUGAUAUCUAGAAUGGAGGAAUAUAUGAUCCCUUAUCUAAUGGACAAGUUCGUUGACAAGAUCAGAGUUCGACAGCGGCUUUAAGAGCUACGAUUGCCAGUUAGGUUUGAAGUCAUACGCAAUAAUAGUUUUAGACUUAUCCAAGUGGGAGACUGUUGGAUUAAUGUCUAAGUCCAUAACUAUAUUUGGUAUGUACUUGACCCGACCCGGCAUGGUCCAUUUGGGUUGCACUUCACCGACACAAUUUAUAUGGAUAAUCUUUUGAGAAUAGUAUGUUUAUGAUUAAUAUUAAUAUAUUAUAAGUUCUAAUAUAUUAAUAUGGAAUCAUAUUAUUUAAUUAGUAUUGAUCAAGAAUUAAUUUAUAAUUAAUUAAGUGAUCAAAAGGAACUAAUUAAAUAUGGACUCUUAUAUAUAUGGAAUGGGCCAAGUUCAUUUAGGUUGGGCUAAGCUUUCAUGGAUAGUCCAUGGAGUGUUUAACCCAUGGAUCCUAGGAAAUGAAAGGUCAUGGGUAUUAGGGUUUAACCCUAAUCCUCCACACUAUAUAAAGAUGUCCUUGGUUGGUGAAAUUGGCACUAGUGUGGUACACUAAGAAGGGCUAGCCAAUUUCACUAGAGAGAACCAAGUAUCCAUAUUCUCUAAAGUCUUCCAAGGUGUUUUGUUGAUUUGUGAUUCCAUUUGAGGCUUCCACACUAUUGGGGCUAAGCUCUUAAAGCUUGAAGACAUCAAGCUACAUCAAAAGGUAUGUCAUCUAACUAGAACUUUGUAGUAUAAGAACUUCAUAAUAUGCUAGUUAGGAUUAAAACCUUGGAAAGUUCUUAUUUGCAUGUAUAAUAGAGAAAACAUAGAUCCAAGGUUUAUAGGGUUGCAUGUACACCAUAGGAGUGUUAGAAUGCUCAAAACCCAACAAUAUUAAUAAAUCAUAAUUAAUCCUUUUUCUCCUUAGUUCAUCAUAUCAGUUGCUAUGGUGAAGGCAACCCAAAAGGACCAUGCUCACAAUCGGGUCAAGUACAUACCAAAAUAGUUAUGGGCUUAAACACAUAAUCCAACAGUAUCCCACUUGGAUAAGUCUAAUAACUAUAUUGCGUAUGACUUCGGAACUUGAUCAGUAAUCGUGGCUUUCGAAAGCCGUUGUCGAACUCUGAUCUUAUCAUAAACAUGUCCUUUAGAUAAGGGAUCAUAUAUUCCUCCAUUCUAGAUAUUGUAUGAACUGAGACAUGGAUUUUAAUUAUACUCUCUCUUCAUCUGUUGUUUCCCGAUUUCCGAUUUAUGACGACUGACAACAGACUACAAUUGAACACAUCAACUCAGUCCCGGCUUGGCCAAGCGCUUAAGGUGUCAUCACUAAAUCAUCGAGGGCCCACAUAUAUUGGUUUUAUCCUACUUUGGGUAAAAGUAAUGGAUAAACUUCGACUCAAAUGCUCGCUUGUACCUACUCAUCGAAUCACACACAAGAAUAUGUUUUGUAACACUAAGUUACUGGUGGGUUUACAUAUUAUCAAUGUGCAACCGACUUACAGAAUACAACUCACACGUCUCGGUUUCAAGAAUACAAGAUAUUAUCUUCUCACCAAUCACUCGUGAUAAAAUCUAUGAAGCGAUCCAAUUGAGCACUCGUUUAAUCCAAUGCUCAAAUCUUAUUCCUAAGCACUCAUGAACGUUGCAUCAAACUUUUUCUAUGUCUAAUACACUUUAGACAAUAUACAAACCAAUUCAUGACAAUCUUCUUUCAUACCUAGCCCUAAUGUAUGAGCGACUGUGGAACGUUCGAAUAAUCUUAUUAUUCAGGAAGUCAAAACAUGCAAAGUGAAACACAAGAAUAAUCGAAUCCAAUAUGGCCCCAAACUUUUGAGUAGAAAUAAAAGUCUUUUUAUUUAGUCACCAUAUUGAUUACACAUUAUUCAUUCUAUAAUGUUCUGGAUAAUCAACUUAUUACUUGAAUUAUAACUGUAGUUGUCCUGUGCACCAAGCAUGCACACUCUGUUUACCUAUGGUCCAUACUUUGUGAAAUAGAUCAAUUGAAAACAUUUCCAAUGAUGCUCAUUUCACAAUCCCUAUUCCUUAUCGUUAGUGUAAGAACAAAAUUCUCGCCACUACUAGAAUAUGUUAGAUUUUAACAUUUUAUGCAACGAUCCUAUCGUAAUGCCACAACACCAAAGCCACGAAGACUUUGCCAAUGAUAUUACAAAGAACUCUAUUGGAGAUUAUUAUAAGACAAUUCCAUAGAUGUGAAAUCUCACAUUCAAAUUACAUUCCUUUGAACAUCCUUCCUGCACAAAAGUUUCUAAUCUCGACAUAAAUUCUUAAUGUCCAACUCCCAAUAUGGAAACAUUUCCAUAUUUUCCAUAUGACAACUUAUUGUGAAUAGAGUCUUAUCUAUUCAUAAUAAUGUCGAUAUUGUCCAUUCAUUACUAUACUUCCAACUACUCACAAGCGACCAAUCCUCAACAAAUUUUCGUCAAACCGGUUCUAGUCCCCUUUCCCUGUUAUUGCCCUAGGCAUUUGGAAAAUUUUAGAACGGUCGAAUAUUCCAACAUAUGCAAUCGAUCCUAUACCCGAAGCGUAUGGGACAUGAUUCAUAAUGGAAACAUGAUACUUUACCAGUUCCUUGCUAUAAUAUUGCCAUAUAUAGAAUCCUUUUAAGUUGAAUCUUUUCAACAUAACAUCCAUAUAUGUCUUUUGACUAAAUUUCUCGAUCUAAGCCUUUAGAUUUGAAAUGAAGCAUAAUAUCCUCUCCCUUAAUUAUAGAAAAACACCUAUUCAACCUUUGCAAAUUGAAACUUUGUUUUCUAUAAUUAAUAUUGCUAACUUGCAACACUUAAAAUAAUAACCAUGCUCCAACUAACAUGAUAAUUAUCUCCAUACCAGCAUAACAUUUAUGCUCCCACUAGCUUUUACACAUAUUCAAAAAACAUUUGGACUUCUAGAAAGCAAUACUUAUUGACUUCCAAAGUUUAUAUUUCUAAUACGAGAUGCUUCGAUAAACCUUUGUCAAGCUUCUCAAGCUCAUACGCCUUUCCCUAGAAAGCUCAUAUGUGUGUCUAAACAAUUUCAUCACUUAUAGAAAUAAGUCUAAAUGUUAAACUAAUUGCCAAAUCUCACAAUUCGAACUAUGAAGAGGGAUGCUGUAAUCAUAAUCGAAUUUGAGAAUGCAAUUUACACAACAUCUAACUCCUUAAAAUUUUCUUAGUGAAAGCGAUUCCUCACAAUCAUUUUCAUGAAGGAGAGAAACCUUAUGACACUUAGAUUUUGAUGGUGUAUGUGCUCCUAUCCAUGUGAAUUUGUAAUAACCAUAAUCAUAAGAUAAUGUUUGUGUCAAAUCCAUACUCUUAUGGAAAGAACUUGUUCAUUAUUAAUUUCUUUCCAUCAAGGGUCCCACCAUGGGUUCCAAGUUAUUGAGCAGCUCACCCCUACCUAUCAAUGUACUUUCCAUUAAUCAGGGUGCCUUGCCCCUAUGCAACCCAUUGAGAACUCAUAGAACUCACAUGCAUAGUUGACCAAACUGGAAUGGCACAUAAACAAGAAUAUGUCAACACGAUAGGUUACAAAACUCAAGUCCUGUGCUAGUGAUUAAUAAUAGGUUUAAUCUUGAUUUGUUCUUGAACCUUUUGAAGAUCAUUUAGACUCCCACUGACCUCUUGACAUAUAAGAUUCUCUUGUCAAGAAACAUUUCCUGACAAACAAACAUUAAAGAGUUAGUGCGGAUUCUUAUCAAGACAAACCACUACACACAAUUGGUCUUAGUUAGUCUUUGUCUUAUCCAAGACAUCACAACUUACCAAUUUCAAACGUGUAAGAGUAAGAAAAACAAUUUUCUACUCUACAUUUGAUGAGUGUGUUAAAACUUCUUAAGAUGUGUCACUCAUGUCACAAUCUUGGAGUAUGACUCUAAGACUUGAUUUAGGGCGAAAUAUGAGUAAUCCUUUUUGAUUUAACCAUUUCAACAAAUUUUGAUUCCUCUUCUUGGCCAUACUAGUGCACUUUGGUGUCUUUAGAGGAUCAAUUAUGAUAUUGUUUCAUAAUCAACAAGACGAUCAUAAAACAUGAUACUAAAGUACUCUCCCAUCUCUUCAGACUGGAGAAACUUUUAUCUUUCUGCCUAUUUGAUUCUUCUUAUUCGUUCUAUCAUUCAUUGAAACUUUUCAAUGAUUUAGAAUUAUACUUACUCUAGUAAGCAUAACCACAUUUACUAGACUUUUAGUAAAUCAUAAUCUUAUUGUUCUUUGUGGUGGACUUGACUAGUGCACAACAUUGUGUACCACUUCUCCUAGUCCUUCACUUGACUCUUUGUCAAGGAACAAUUCUUAAUUUUCCAAUUAUGAAGAUUCUCAUUCAUCAUACAAUACAAGUUGUAUGAAUCCAAGUUUCUGUCCAAUUGAAACUCGGGCGACAAGAAUCUUUCCUUAUUUGGUAAAUUCUCGACACUACCACAAAUAACAUAACUAAGAAUCAAAUCCAUUUCAACAUUGCUAAAAUAGAAAUAAACAUCAAUUUUCAUACAUGCCAAUGCAAGGAAAUAUAAAUAAGACAAAAAACCAAAAUUUAUUUUAUUUAUAAAAGGUGCGGAAAAACUUGUCCUUACAAUGCAAUUCAAAUGAAAACUAUGCUAUUACAUAUUCCUAAGCAAUCUAUCAUAACUCUGAGCAGCAGUUAAAAAUCUGAUCAUCGAAUCAUGCGAUCGAGAUACAUAUCUUUGCGAUCAGACUUAGCACACUUCUUCCUUUAAGCUUCCUUUCUUCUCUUCAAUCCUACAAAACACCAAAUGUAAUGUUGUCAAAUCAUGUAUUUAGAAUCUCCAAAUAGGAACUUAAUAGAGUUAGAUGGUAGAUUCUACCUGAAGUAGAGUCAUACAUCUUGACUAUCCCAUCUCUUAGAUCUCUCAUGUAGUCAGGACAACUUCAUAACCAAUGCCCCCUCCUUUAGUAGUAGAAACAUAUGGAUUCUUCUGUAAUUCUACACAAGAUCAUCUCAGACUCAGCCUUUCUUUCGCGUAGAGAAAACUUUUAUGGACUUCUAAUGUUAUCAUUGCCCAUAGAAGGUUGGGAUAUUGAUUUACGAGACAAAUUUGCUCGGCCAGUGUGUAUAAUCAUUUCUGCUUUAGCAGCAAUAAGCAAAUAAGUCAAAUCAAUGAAGGUCAUGUCGUGUUCCAUCAUAUAGUACUCUCCAAUGAACUUACUAUAUGAUUCGGGAAGUGACUGAAGAACCAAUUCAAUAGCCAAUUUGCUUGAGACAUCGACACCUAACAUUCACAAUCUAUCAAUAUGCAACUUCAUAUCCAAGACAUGAGCACAUAUAAAUUUUCCAUCUUCGUGUUUGUUUGCCAACAUGGCUUGAGUGACAUUGAACUUUUCAAGUCAUCGAAUACGUAGGCCAGGGAGAAUAAUUGGAGGAGGUGGAGGAAGUGCAGCAUGAUUUCCAUUUCCAUAAUCCAAUCAUGGAACAUCAUCUUCAAGCGGAAAACUUUUUCCAACUGAUUCAGGAAGACCAUAGUUGAUAGAUUUUGAAAUCUACAAAACGGGAGAAAUUCAAGUUAGUUGAUUGGAAUCCUUGGUAUAACACCCAAAUGAAAUAUCAAUGCUAGGACCCAAUACAAUAUUCUACAAUUUUGAAGAGGGAUGCCGUAAUCCAAAUUGAAGAAUAUUUGAAGGUAGGUAAAUGACGAUUUACCAACUUCCACCAUGAAAAAUGAAAUUUGAAAAUUAAGUUCUAAAUGAAUUGAAACUCCUAGAUCUUUUGAUAUUCAUUAAACUUUUCAAUGUCAUCUUUAAAUCUCGAGUGUCCUUUCGUUUGUUACUGGGAUGCCGAGUAUCACAAACAAGUUGUGGAUAACCAUGGAAAUAUACAUGGUACCCCCAAUGUUGCAGUCACCUAAUCGACGUGCCGAUUAACCACACAAACUCCAUCGAUCUAUGAUAAACAUCAAGUCACCCUUUGACACCUUUGCUUAGAGCCCAAUUAGUGUGUCGGUUAACCACACACGGUCCACUAACGUCUUAGCAAGGGUACAAAGUGUAAUUUCAUGGAAUAGCACCAACUCCACAUUUUUCCUAAAGUAACUAAGAUUUGGGAAUUUAUAAAAGUGUUUAGUUACUUUGUAUUCAAUAUAAUUAUAAUGGAAGGUUUUGUCCUAUCCUACCCGUUCGGCUAAUGACCCUCCACUAGUCAAGAGUUCGAUGGGUAAGAGUACAUACCCUAUGUCGGUCAUUUUACACGCUGCUUCCUUAAACACCCCUUAAAGACCAGCUUCGUGAAUGAGGCCUACUAACGGUAAGAACGACUCUUUACUCAUACAUAUAUAAUAUUAUAAUUUUAAUUGGGGGGAAGGAGCCCGACAGGGUCCCCCCACUAACUUGGUUUAUAUAGUAUAAUGAUGUAUUUUACACUUUUAAAAUACUAGGUGGUUUAAUUUAAUAAAUUAUAACUUUUAAUUUAAUUAAAUAUAGACCAUAUCAUUAUGGAUUUAUUAACUCUCUUUUAAUUAUACAUUUAACAAACUUAAUUAAACCAUAAGAGUGUAAUUUGAACUUUUAAAAAACUAGGGUUUUAGAAUUUAACAUUUAGAAAUUAGAACUUUUAAUAAAAAUUUAAAUUCCAAAACAUUAGGGCAAGUUUUAAAACUUUUCAAAACCAUAUAUAUAUCAAAUUACAUAUACUUUUAAUUAAUCAAAUAAUUAGUAAUUAUCUAUAUUUGACCUAAUUCAAUUUCAAGGCAGGAUAAUGCACAUCAAAUAAUACAAAUAAUUAAAGUUUAUCAUACAAGGCAACAAAUAUCUUAUUAAAUAACAAUUAUCUUCUAUUUGGGUUAGGAUAAUAAAUACCAAACAUAAAAAAACGAAUCUUAAGUGUUAAAAAUGUUUUUGAUAACAUUCCCAAGCCAAAUAAAAAAAAUCCCGAAGUUUCCUCUGUCUCACCCUUGGACUCACCGAUUCAGGGACUGGACUCGUCGAGUCAGGCUGACUUGCCGAGUUCAUCAACUGACUCACCGAGUCAAUCAGGCAUAGGACCAAAAACUUCGACAUUUAGAAAAUGAAUGAUUAUACAAGCAUCAAAAACAUCAAACAAACAACCUAGGCUAUGAUACAACUGAUCGGUUAUGAGCACUACAUCAAUCGUAUGGUGUACAUUCAAACCCUAAAGCUUUGGAUCUAGUUUGUCUAAUGAACAUGAAAUAAUCAUCCAAAGCUCAUAAAACAUAGAUCUAGCAUAUAAUAUUCGAUAUUAUCAUAAUAAAAGGGUUUAGAUAUUACCUUGAUUGUUAUGUAGUAAUAACAAUCACAAUUCCUCUUAAUCUUAACCUUUGAAAUCUUAGUGCCUCAAAUGUUGCACCUCUAAUGGAGUCACAAACACCAUGAGCAACCAGAUGACUUAGGAGAAGGAGGAGGAGGCUCCAAAAACGUCUAGGGUUCUCUUAGAAGUCCUAGCCACGUUUUUGGGAGCCUUAGGGGUCAUUUUAUACUUGUGUGGGCUGCUAGGGCUUAAGGUGAAACCCUAAUUCUCUUCUUAGGCCUUAAGCAACCCGUGGAGUUCCCCUAGAAAGCCCUUGGAUGAAUUCCGUAUGGGCUUCCCAUAGAUUUCGUCCAAACCCAUUUCCAUUAGGAAUCCAUAGCCCAAUUGCCUCUAUCAUAUAAUUGCAAUAUCACUCCCCUUUAUUUAAUUAAUCUCUUUUAGCCACAAAAUUAAUUGUUAUUAAUUUUUGACUAAUAUUAAUUAAACAAUAUGAUUUCUCUUUUAAUAUAUUCUUCAUAUAAUAUAUUAAUAAAUCAUAAUUAAUCCUUUUUCUCCUUAGUUCAUCCUAUCAGUUGCUAUGAUGAAGGAAACCCUAGAGGACCAUGCUCACAAUCGAGUCAAGUACAUACAAAAUAGUUAUGGGCUUAGACAGCUAAUCCAACAAUCCAAUCCUAACUUUAAGGGGGAGAAUGUUAGGUGCAAAGUUCUACUUGGUUGUGGGGUGUAGGUUUACCCUCUUUUAGUGUGUAAUGAGUUGUCUUUCCUAUAAAUAGGAAGUGAGUGACACUCAUUUAUGAAAUAAACUUUGGAGAGAUUAAAUUAGUUAGAGCAUUUUUAGAUUACCCACUUUGUAAUAGUCACUUGAUCUAAUGAUUACUUAACUGGGUUAUUUACUCCUCAUGUUCUUGAUUUUUGUAUGCUUUAUUAUAUUUUUUCAAUUCCCCGAAUGUGAUCCUAAUUAGGAUCACUACACAUCUAGCAACUACCGAGCCACCAAUAGUAUUUCCAUACUUCUCAAACACCCGACGAUUCCAAGCAACUAACGACCUAACACACAAGUCUCCAUGACACAACUAUCAACCCAUUCUUACAAAAUAAAACCUAAAAUGGUUCAUGCCAUGUCGUGAUACCAUAUAAACAUUAGAAUGGGAAGCUCACGGUUCCUCACCGUUCAAGCCAUCAUCAAAUCCACGGGCAUGAAGACUCCCAACUAGCACAGAGUGUGCCUAUAGGCUCAAAACGAUCAUGCUAUUGACCUGAAGGAACCCAUUUAAUAUCCCACUCAACCGUUACAAAACUAACAAGAUCCAUAACACUUUAUAACACACAACCCUUCCUCAGUCUAGGUUGCUACCAACACAUUAUCGGAAGGAAACAUGGUCGUAUGCAACCAUAAUGUAAUAUAGAUAGUUAAACGCUUGGUACAACUUGAAAAAACACCAUUUCACACUCCCUAUACACGUCUUCCGAUAAUAUUUGUUGAUCUGCCAACAUUUCACACUCCCUAGGAGAAAAAACAAUGCCCCUCACGCCACCUGUGUUCCUUCUUUAUUAUAACCUUACCCAAAGGGUGAAGUCCCAGUGGAUCGAACGAAAUGAAAAACCUCAAACGUUAAUAGAAAAAUUCUCCUAAUAACCAAAACAAUAUCCCCGCACCUUAAAUGAAGCGGAACAGAUCCCAACAAUGCACGAAUAGACCAAUAGAAUUUCCAAAUUUGGAGAAGAAUUCCAAAAUUAUCUAGAAAAUGUUGCCAACACCUUGGUCAAAUUAAUCUAAAUAGCAACCCUUCUGACGCGCCAUGUCAAAACUGGACUCUAUGUAGGCCACGGUCACACCUUAAAAGCUGAACAAAGUCGCUCCGACAUCAAAACUACCAAUAACCAAACACAGAUGCAAACCCAAGCCUACUAGGAACAACAAUUCCAUGACCAAAAAGUUGAAAGUACACAUAUGUAGAGACCAUGAUAUACACCUUACAAAAAUUGAUGAAGGGAUCAACUGUACCUUCAAAUCAUACAACAUGAAGCCUUUGUAUAACCUUAACUAUCAAUGAUGAAUAAGAUAACCAAGAAUAAAAAAUUGUUCAAAAACAAAACCCCAUGAUCCCACACAUGCUGAACAAAGCCCACGCGAAAAAUACACUUAUCAAACCCUGAAGUCGAUCGACAUAUCAAUGACUUCCCAUUCUCUCCUAUAAAUAACUGAUGCACAACUUGCACGUCUAAAAUGCUCCCUUAUCAAGAUUCCUAGCGGUUCCUAAGGGAACUACUUUCCACAAUGAGUUCCUUGUGUAACAGCUUUUCGAUGUGAAUACAUCACAUCUCUCCUUAAAGACAUAAACCUAAUAGCAACUUGAUAUGUGCUCCCGAUUUCAACAAUCCUUGAAUUCCCCUUUACCAUGAAGGACUCCCACAGAUCCUUGCGCAUCGCAAUAAAAAAACAUCCCAACCAUGAGGACUUUGAGGCUAGCCUACUUUCCUUCCCAUAUGCAACAAUAUACCUAUAAUACAUGCAUUAAAUAAAGUACACCAGAAAAAUUAUUUUUUUUAAAAACAAAAGGAGUGUACAUUACAUUAACCUAAAAUACUAUACGACACAGGGACCGUAAACGCCAUAUGAACCGAAAACUCACCAACCAUAAACUCUAACCUAACCGAAAACAUUAACAAAAACUAUACGAAUGAAUGCCUAGCCCAAACCAACAAAUCAUGAUGUUACAAUCUCCCCCUUGGUUUGAGGCUAGCAUAAGCUCAAUCUUUAUCAAUGAUCAGCACGUCGGAUCCUCCCAUAGCCCCCAACCACAUCUUCUUGUUUAUCAUCUUAGCGAUCAGACUUGUGAACUCUUUAGCGGCGGACUCGAAAAUUUCAUUCUUGACCACUAUUUGAUGUUGAUCCAGAGUGUGAAUGUCACAUUCACCAAACUGUAGUAGAUCCUUCACCUCAACAACACAAAAGACACUAGUUAGGAAUUUGAUUACAGUAGUGACUGUGGCCUCGUCGAAUACCCAAUACUCCAUAUCGUGAAGAGAUCCAUCUCAGAAAUGUUGAAGAAUGGGAAUUUCAUUCAUUUUUUUUGUAGGAGGCCACAUCAUAGUUCUCAUGGCCUUGUUGUUUUGUGGGUCAAGAGCAUCUCUAGCUUUCUUCACAAAGGAUUCCGCUGUCUUCAUUCCAUCAAACUUCCUCUUUACUUGAUUCUCUAAGAAGAGUUUGAGUUCACUCCCUCGAGGAUCAUUUGAUGGAUUGUAGAAGGGAGCAUUGGCAAGUUCAGUAAGAUCAACUCUUUUCGAAGAGCUAAAAUCAUUCUUGUGCUUAUAGUGUUCCAUGUUUCCGCUCUUCCUUUUAACCCCCCGAAUAUUUAGUUUAUCCUGAAAUCCCCACAUCAGUACCAUAUUUCAUCAUCUUUUGUCCAAGAGUUUGAAUGUCACCUUUUUUUCGAUUACCUUCUUUUCAAUACCAUGUUUCAUCGUCUUGCUAAGUAGAUGGUUGAAACGAUCGAAUGUCUGAAUGAGUUUCUCAUCAGGUUUUUGUACAAAAGCACUGAACUCAGAGAUCAAAAGGGUUUAGAUGGAGUGCUCUAGAUCCUCAUCAGUUGAAUAUAAUUCUUUCAACCUAUCCCAUAUUUCAUUAGCUGUAGUGUAUGAUCUCACUAAACGGAAAGUAUCGGCUUGCAAAGCAAAUCUGAUCAUUCUCAUGGCUUUAACAUUGCAUAGCACCUUGUCCUUUUCAUCUUGAGGGAUCUUCUCUACGUCCACCAAGAGUUGGUUAUACUCCUUUUGAGAUUUGAUCGUUCUGUUCAUUCCAGAGUGAACAAACAGAUCCAGUGUUAUUGCUUCCCAGAUUAGAUAGCCAUUGUCUUCAGAUCCAAUGACGUAGUCUUCAAAGUGAUGUGCCCAUACUUCGUAAUCUUGAGUACAGAGAAUGGGAAAUCUCGUAGUCGAUCCUAUAUUGUUGGAGAUGUUGAUUAGAUUAGCUUGAGAAUCGUCGUGAGACAUGAUGAAAAACUUCUUAUUUUAAUCUUCUUGAAUCAGAAUUGUAAAGAUGAGAAUAGGGUUUAACUGAACACUAAAAUACUCCGUCGACAGGAAGAAGACGACUUCUAAAUAUUCGAUAGAAGCGGAAACCUUAACGGAUUCUUCAAACAGAAGAGAUGUGUAUGUAUUACACAGUCUCCUGCUCUGAUACCAAUUGAUGAGAAUAUUGAGCUAUUAGAUUGAUAGAUUCAAAACAAAUAAGAAGUAAUUAAGAGCACAAGAAUGAGAAAAAUGAUGUCGAAUGAUUAAUCUCUCACACCUCAGAAGAGCUCGAUGAAGAAGUUCGACUAUAGAGGUGUGUAUAGUGUUACAAUGCAAAAGUAAUUAAUGAGAUCUCCAUCUUAACGCUAUACAUGCAUGAAUAAUAUAUAGUCUAACGCUAAGAAUAAAUAAUGGAUGGACAUGCCUAAUCCGGAUAAAUAAAACAGAAACACUUAAGCCAAAUAAGACGCAACUCAAAUACCUAACACAUUACCUGAAGCAUCGUUUAAUAAAAUACUACAAGGCUUAGAAAUGAUGGAGGCUGAAUCAGUUCCAAAAUCAAACUCAUUUCAUUAAGUAUAACUUUCUCUUUUGCUUUCUUAAAAUUUUCUAACAACCAAAAUGAACUGAACGAUCGGUCUAUUUCGGCGCCUGAUUUUUUGGGAACCUAAAUUAACCGAAGGAUCGGUGUAUGUCACCUCUUGUAAUUUUUUAAAGCGAGCAAUUGUUUCAUCUUAUGGAUUGGAACUUACAUAUCCUUUGUAUACAAUGUAUAUAUUUUGUUUACUCUACUUUAUGUCUUUAGUUAAUUUCCAAAAUAAUUUUUUUUUCAGAAUUUCUAAAAUCAACAAAAAUAUUUUCUGUUUACUUAGUUAAAUUAUUUUUUUGAAUAAGUUGAAAAUUCAAAAAAUAUUAUAUCUCAGUAUCACGGAUGCAUUUGUGUGAUAGAGUUGGGGCAUGUAUAACAUUCUUUAUCUAUGUACUAGCUAAGUGUCCCUAGAAGCAUGCUGCUGCAUGUCAACCGAAGCCUCCAAGACUUUGAGUGAAGCCUUACUGAUUCGAUAUAUACAAAUCGUUUCUUCCCAAUUAGGCUGAUAAAAUCACUCAAGUCAUGAGCUACCUUACUCUUCUCACAUUGAUUUAAGAGUUAUCUGCUUGGUUUGUCAUUAAUAGUAGAGGUACUUUCGGUUCUUUAACUACCUAUUAUUAUUUCUCCAUCCCAUUUCGGUUCAUAAUCAUAACCCUUGAGACUCUCAGCAUUUACCACUGAGGUUUAUGGUUACACAACAUCCAUGUUGAUGAUCUUAGUUUCGUUUCACCACGUGCUAAGUGAGGCCCAAUAUCCAAUGCCUUUAACGAAUUGACGGUCAACAGUCCAAAGUUCUAGUUUUUCACCCAUGAAUUAAUGAAAACACUUUGACAGUUUACACCUUGAAAUCUUUUUAUUUUUGUGUGAUCUUUAUGAAUUUGUCUAACACCAAGACUUUUCUUCUCAAAAGAUCAAUUUUUUUUUAAAGAUUUCAACAAACAUAUCACCAAGUCACUGAAUAUAUUGUCUAACCUACUUGUUUAAUAGGCUACACUGGUCUCUCAAGUACUUUAUCCAACUUUCGGUCUUAUGUCAAGUACUGAAGUUGGUUGAAGCUAAGCCGCCCCUUAUAGCUUAAAUUUGAAAAGAUGCCUUUCAAUGUUUCUUAAUAAACAUUUGAUCAUAUUUCAACGGGAAACCACACAGACACUUCUAAGUCUCUCUUGAAUUCGAAGGAAGCGGUUCAUGCCCGGGAUCCAUAGUUUCGUGUCUAAAUAGACAUCACUUAAAUCCCACAAAUAAUUUGUUUUAUUUCUUUUCUAUUGGCAUGCUCUUGCAUGGAGAUCUUUAUGAUUUUCCUAAUUCUUUUUCGUGGUACUAAUGGCAAUUUUUCACAAUUGAUGCUUCGGUUGUAAUUGCUAUGGUGGUACACUAUGUUAAGGCGCGAACAUUUCCAGCCUUAUACGAAGCGAAAGGUUUUAUCAGAGUUUAAAAACGAAUUUGAAACGGUUUCGAAGUUGGAAAGGAGGUAACAAGAUAAGAUUUCAAACCGAGUUAUUGGAUAAGAUUUGGAAGGGGCGCGUGAAUUUGAAACGGUUCCUAACAUCACACCUGAUGACGUCUUCCUAGGGAAACACAACUGUGAAGUUGCGCUUUUUCAGGCACCAAUUGAGAAGAUCGUAUCAUCAUUACUACAGAUUCUUUCUCUCUCCUGGGAAUGGUAUAUAAGGUUUUCUCACACCUCUUAUACCACUUUACACUUUACAAACUCUCUGUAGCAAGCAAGGUUAUCAGGGAAUACAAAAAGCUUCCUUCUUCAGGAUCGAGACAACUCACUCUUGAGAUGCAGAAAUCCCUUGAUGAAGCUGACAAGCCAGCUAAACGUGGCAAGAAGCCUGAUCAAAAGAAGCAGGAGAAAGAAGGUGAAUCCUCCAAAGUCUAUACGCCCAACAAACGUAAGACCGAACAAGCAGCUCCUUCUACACCAAAGAAGCGAAAGGUGAAGAAGAUGGAAGGGAAACCGAAGGUAGCAUCGCCUAGUGAUUCAGAUUAUGUUCCUUCCGAUCACGAUCAAGAAAAAUCAGCCAAAGGUGAAGAUGCUCACCUUGAAGGAUAACCGAGAGGAGCUACACCUCCACGUUCUCCAUCUCCUGAGGUACAACUUAAUGACUCCAUUCCAACUCCUCCUCCUUGUCCAUCUCAUACUACAAUAUCCCUUUCCAUUGCACCACUUCCACCACCAACUUCUUCUCAACCUAUCUCCACUACACCUCUCCCUCCACCAAUCUUCACUCAAGUAACUUCAAUAACAACCACCACACCUGAAUCUUUGGUUUGUGUCAACAUAUCUAAUACGAAGGCACCUCCCUCAGAAACCAAAACCCCAAUCACUUCCAAACCUAUUUCCCCAUCUCCUUCGUCAGAUUCUUUCCCAGUUUUUGGUGGAGAAGAACUUGAAUUUGAAUCUUAUUACUUCAGCCCUUAUAGAGUUGAGAGUGACGAUGAUGAUGAUGCUCCUCUUACAAAACGACACUUAAAUGAUUUAAAUGAAAAUCUUGACAAGUUGUUCGCUUUAUCUUCCUUUUCCUCUACCUCUGGUUACUCGGAUACUAUUGUUCGAGCCCUCACAGAAACAACUCUCAAACAACAUGAUGAGUCUAUCCAGAAGGCAACCCAGGCUGUGGAUGCUUCCACUUUGUCUUGUCGAAAAGCAUCAGAAGAUGUAGCCACAUUCAUUUCAGAUGCCAAGAUUCUUCUAGAUUCUCCUAAAGAAGCUGCAAAGUCUAACGCCAACAAGGUUAACACUGCCAUUGAGUCGCUUUCCAAAUCCCUUCGGGCUGAGAAAGAUAAACUUGAUUUGGUAAGAACUACUCUUCAAGCCGAUUAAACCUCUCUUUUUUUCAAUAAUCACCACUCGCCUUGACAAACUUCAAGCUGACCUUGCCAAGGAGAAUAAAAUUAUGGAUGAACUUGCUCACAAAACUACUUUGCUUGAAGUUCAGUCUGUCAAGCUAACCUAGGAAAAUAAGGAGAUUGAUUCUCUAAAGUCGAAGCUAGUUGUCAUCAAAAGUUGUGUCUUUGAUGUCUUCACCAUUCUCUCCAAUCUGGUCAAUGCACAUGAUUCGGUUCUAACUCUCUCAGUUUAAAACCACUUAACUGAGAAGUUACUUCCUUCCCUCGAAAUCCUGAGCCAAAUUGAGGGUGUUACAGAGCUGUUUGUUACUCCGCAACAAGGGGAGAAGAUCUGCAUAACCCUCCCAAAAAAUCUUCUACUGUUCUAAAUGUCACCGCUAAAUCGAAGGGUAAUGAAGCUUCGGGUCCUAGUGUCAAGGACAAAGCAAAUGGUAUUAUGGGUCAGAGUACUGAAGAAGAGGAAACCGAAGAAGAAAGGGAGAAAAGAGAGAAAGAUGCUCAUGACACCUUGGUUUGUAGACAAGCUCUCUUUCCAGUGUGGUCAUUGGACAAACUGAUGAAGGAAGCGAUUGAGUACCCUAGGAAUCAUUGGCUUGAACCAGCCGUUUCUUUUGACUGUGAGAAUACAAGGGAUUCUUAAUUUUACAUGCCUAUCACUCGAAGAGCCUUUUUGUUUCAUUGUUUCGAUUCAAUUGCCCGCGUUCUUUCUCCUGAUUUGAAGGUUGUGUUAGAUAAGGUGUCUAAGUCCAUAAUUAUUUCUGGUAUGUACUUGACCCGGUUUUGCAUGGUCCAUUUGGGUUGCAUGGCAUCAUGAAUUUGGAUAGACUAAAAUGAGAGAAAUAACACUUAAGGUUUAUUAAUAUAUUAUAAGUUCUAAUAUAUUAAUAGUAUUAUUUAAUUAGUAUUGAUCAAUAAUUAAUUUGGAAUUAAUUAAGGGAUCAAAAGAAGACUAAUUACAUAUAUGGGUUGAUUGUGUAAAUCACUCAUACUUGUAUUGUAACAAUAUAAAUUUUCAAAACAAUUUUUCAUUUUUAAAUCAUAUUUUUAAUCAUCAAAAACAAUCUCCAAACAAACUGUAUCCAAUGUCAUCAUAACAAACAAAUCCCAGAGUCUCAAAACAUAAUCUCUAUGAGUGUGUACGGAUCAUGUCGGCGCCUUCCCACGAUCCUCGCUAGUACCUGAAACACAUAACACAACAACUGUAAGCAUAAAUACUUAGUGAGUUCCCUAAACUACCACAUGCAACACACACACCUUUCCAAGCCAUAACUCUGUGGGACCUUUUGGUCCAAGUUUCUCAGGGGACUUCCGUCUCGAAUCCCGGUAGACCUUCCUGUCCUACCCGUAUCGAACUUCCGCUCCGUAACCUCCUGACCUUCCGGUCAAUGUCAUCUUGCCCUUCCGAUCCAUAUCAUCUUGACCUCCCGGUCCUUAUCGUACAUAACAUACAUAACACAUACAUAUCACAGAACCGCAUAUAGCACCUACAUCGCAUAGCAUACAAGACCUUCCGGUCACACAUAGGUACCCUUCCAGAUACAGUAUAGUGAGAAUACUCGCCUCAAUGAAGUCGGAUAAACUCUCGUGCUCAACAUUCCGACCUAGCCUCCUCCUAUUAUUUGAAUAACAUUUCCGGUUAAUACUCUCUCAUAGUCUCAUCUCUAAAGAUUGGGUAGAAGGCCAUUCUACCCCUGCCUGAACUCUCUUGAAUAAGCCUUGACAAGAACCCUAAGGUCAACAAAAGUCAAUGGUCAAAAUUUGACCCGACUCGUCGAGUGCACAUGGGAGACUCAGCGAGUCCAUGCGGGUUAUCUGAGUCCUUCUAGCCUCUCAUGGCACGUCGAGUCAUCCCUCCACUCGACGAGUUCCUCCUGUCACGAAUCGCGGUGCAACCCUGACUCGACUCGUCGAGUCCACUUAUGAACUCGGAGAGUUGCUUCCAUGAUCAUACUCAAAUGACCUUCUAAGGUCAGGUUUGCUUCCCUAAUCUAUAGAUCUGACCUUCCAAAGCAUGAUAAUCAUGUAAAGGUCGAAUCUUGGUACAGAUGCAACACACCCAAAGCUACUUUUGGUGAAAUAACCUCUAAAAUGGCCUCCAAGGCUCAUAACUCAAAAGGUAUGGGAUAAAACAGAGUGGUAAGGACUCUCUGGACCUCUUAAGGUCCAUAUCUGUGAACCAUUUUGCCUUGGGACCUCACAUACUCUAGAUUCAAACUAAAAUAGGCAUAAAGAAAACCCUAGAUUCCACUAGAAUCAUAAUAAACACAAAAAUGGCAUAGAUUGUUACUUCCAAUAGCUUCCUAUGAUCAAAUAGAAGUGGAUCCAAGCUCCUCAACCCGCUUAGCUUGUUCUACCUCCUUCCUAUUAGGUUUUGAGCAUUCUAACACUCCUAAGUGUAUAAGCAACCCUAAAUACCUUGGAUCUAUGUUUUCUCUAUUAUACAUGCAAAUAUGAACUUUCCAAGGUAUUCAUCCUAACUAGCAUAAUAACAUUGAUUCAAAUAAAUAUAUCAAGUUAGAAUUACAUACCUCUUUGAUGUUGAUUGUCUUCAUGAAGCUUGAGCGCCUAGUGCCCCAAGUGUGACACCUCAAAUGGUUCACACAACAUGAAAUACACUUGGAAUAGAUUGAGAGAACAUAAACACUUCAUCAAAUCGGCUAGCCCUUUCUAUUCUCACACAUAGUGACCAAUUUCUUGAGCCGUGAGAUUCUUUUAUGUGGUGGCUAUUAGGGUUACACCAUGUAACUCACAACUUUACCCAUUCCUUAUGCUCCAUGGAUUUUAACCCCCAUGGAGUAUCCAUGGGUCACCCCAUGGACUUAUUUCAACAUAAGGAAUCUUGGAUCACAAGCCCACAUAUAUAAGAAUGAAUGAAUUAUACAAUCAACCCAUAUAUUUAAUUAGUCUUCUUUUGAUCACUUAAUUAAUCCAAGAUUAAUUCUAGAUCAAUACUAAUUAAAUAACCUUAUUAAUAUAUUAGAACUUAUAAUAUAUUAACCAACCUUAAGUGUUAUUUCUCUGAUUAUAGUCUAUCCAAAUGCAUGAUGCCAUGCAACCCAAAUGGACCAUGCUGGGUCAGGUCAAGUCUUACAAUUAUAGUUAUGGACUUAGACAUUAAUCCAACAGUCUCCCACUUGGAUAAGCCUAAAACUAUUAUUGCGUAUGAUUUCAGGAACUGAUUAGCAAUCGUAGCUCUCAAAAGCAUCUGUCGAACUCUGACCUUGUAGAUGAACUCUGCCCUUUGUCAAUGACUUGUCCAUUAGAUAAGGGAUCAUAGAUUCCUCCAUUCUAGAUAUAAUAUGGACUGAGACAUGGAUUAUAAGCAUUCUCUCUGUCCAUUUGUUGUUUCCUGAUUUUUGAUUUAUGAUGACUGAGUAAUUGAACAAAUCAAAUCAGACUUGGCCCGACCGAGCACUUACAUUUGUCAUCAUCAAAUCAUCGAGGGGCCCACAGAUAUCGCUUUUAUCUCGAAGGUAAAAGGAUUGGAUAAACAUCGAAUCAUAUGGCUUGUUCUACUACUUGUUGAAUCAUACACAAAGGCACGUUUUAUAACACCAAGUUACCGAAUGUGUUUUUGUGCAAUCAAUGUACAACCAACUCAUAGUAACAACUCAUAUCUCUAGGUUUGAAGAAUAUAAGAUAUUAUCGUCUCAUGAUCACUCGUGAUAAAAUCCAUGAAGUGAUUCCAAUGAGCACGGGUUGAAUCCAAUACUCAGAACUUAUGAGCACUCAUGAGUGUUGUAGCCCUUUGUCCAACACCUUAGACCUCUACAAGCCAACCCAUGACAGUCUUAAUUCAUAUCUACUUCCAACAUAUGACCGACUGUGGAUGGUUUG